UUUCAAGACCUGUAGUAGAACAUUGUGGAGGGGUUCCAUUAGCUCUUCAAGUUCUGGGAUCUUCUCUAUUUGGAAAAACAGUAGAUGUAUGGAAAAAUGCAUUACACAACCUAGACGUGAUUACUGAGGGAAAAAUUCAAAAGAUUCUUGGCAUAAGUUUUCAUUCUUUACAAGAUCAUGAUAAACGUUUAUUCCUCCACAUAGCCUGUUUCUUCGUAGGGAAGGACAAGGAUUUUACAACUACAAUCCUUGACGAAUGUGAUUUUGCCACAGAGGUUGGACUUCAACAUCUGGUUGAUAGAUGCCUUGUGGAAAUUAAUGUCCACAACAAGUUAAUCGUGCAUCAAUUACUUCAAGACAUGGGAAGGGCAAUAAUUCAUGAAGAAUCACCUGAGGACCCUGGAAAACGCACUAGACUGUGGCAUAAAGAUGCAUUUAACGUUUUGACAAAAUUAACGCACUACAAGAAAAAGGCCUUUUUGCGACACAUUUUUUGCGUCAAAUUACACUAUCGUCGCAAAUAAAAGGAAAUUAGCGCGGUAUUUGUUAGCGCGAAAAUAUUUGCGACACCACUAUAAGUAACGUCGCUAAUAAUGUCGCAAAUAGAAAUAUAUGUCGUCUUAAACAGAUUGUUUGCGACGCCCCUAACGACGGAUAGAGUUUGAGCGGGAACAAAUUGGCGCUUAGGGUUUGAGCGCGCGCACUCCUUUUUUCUUUUUCCCAACGCAGCCUUAGUGCUCUCCCUCAACCGUUUCUGUUUCCUUUUCCUUUUCUCUCAGAGAUUCAAUCGAAAAUUCUGGAGUUGUAUCAGAGUUACGGAGCACAAUCAGAGUUCAGGUAAGCCACUACAACCAUCUCCAUCUUCUUUCUUUUUUGAUUCCAUAAGUCUUGCUAAGUGAUUUAUAGGGUUUCUGUCAAAGGCGCACAUAUCUGCUAAAUGUCUUCCAAAACCUAGGGUCUUUGGCAUCCGGGAUUGGGAUGUCUUUCUUUUUUCCACCCAUUCUGCUCAGAAUCGGUUUGAUCAUCUUCCUCAGUACCUUGUUAAACCCCAACCCACGUCUUUGAUUGCUAAGUGAUUCCAUAAGUCUUGCUUAGUUCUCUCCCUCAGCCUUAGUUUUCUCCCUCAACCGUUUCCGGUUCCAAUUAUUAGUUUGGACUGGACAACGCCUGCGUUUUGGGCUGCAGGUUUUCUUAAUAUGUUUACAGCACAAACAGAAAAUUUUAGUUAAAAACAAACCCUGUUUUCUUAAUAUGUUUACAGCACAAAUAGUAAUUGAUUUUUAGGGGGAUUGUGCUUCUUGAUUUUCUAUGUGCCUUUAUUUUUAAUUCGUGGACAUCUUGCCCAAUUUUUUUUUUUUUUUUUUUUUUUGUAAUUUUGUUGGCAUUUGCAACAAUAUAUUUGGCUUCUUCUUCUUCCUUAAAAAUAUGGUGAAUGAUUAGAGUGUACCUUUUACAGGCGUUGCUUUUCCAUAGAUUGGGAAGAUCUUGGAGAAGGCCCUCGCACAAGGUAAAGUGGAUGAUGUAGGAUUGUUUUUUUGUGUGCUGACUAAAAGUUUACCUUGGAGUAAUCUCUUAUUUGUGACACUCCUUGAAAUUCUGGAUAUAUUUUCUUUGAGUAUCAUAUGCAAAAGUCAAAGUUGCCCAAAGUUCAGAGGAUACAUUGAAUGAAGAAUUGGAUAUGUAUUUCGUAUUUGCUACCCAAGAAUAUGACCGUUUGGAUUGUUAAUUACCCAUUCCUAGCUAGUUCAUGUGUUAGGUAGGUGAAUGAUGGGGAUUAGUAGUGAGUUUAUCUAAUUUUUAAGUGAUAGUUGAUGGCAGACCUAGAGUUUGUCUAAUUACCCAUUCAACUCAUAUUAUAUAAGCCCACCUUUUAAAACUCAAUUGCUUCCCUUUAUUAUUUAUAUUUUUAAUAACUAGUAUUAUCAUUAUGAAUGUUGAGAUAACUCUGUAUGUGUAUCGCCUAUUCCGAGCUCACACAUUAUCAUGCGUUAAUGCAUAUUCUUUUGUGUUAAAGUAGAAUACUGUUUUUGGAAUAGUUUGGAUUGACAACUUAUCUCAUAUUGCUUAGUGUUUAACAUUCUUUUGUAGUUCAAAUAUUUUGGAUUAACUAUAGAGAUCAGAUCAAGGGUGCUUAAUUCUUAGUUCGGUAUGUUUUAUAUCCACCUUUUAAAUAAAUUUUUGAUUAAUUUUACUUACUUUCUUUGUAUUAUUUUCGGAUGACAUUAGGUAUGGACAAGAGUUGGAUAGAUUUAAAUGACAGAUGUCCCUGAUGCAUAUAAAUUUCAUUGCUUAAAGGUUAUUGGCAAUAGAUGGAGGGAUUGGAAGUGUCGGGUUAAGCAAAGAUGGUAUGACGCAUACUUGACCGAUGAACAACGUUUAUCCUUCACUCCUCCUCAAGUCACUACAGAUCAAUGGAAGACACUAGUAAAGUAUUGGGGCCUCCCUAAUAUAAAGGUAAAUUAGGAAAAAUUACAUUUUAAGUUUAUAAUAGUGAUGAAUUAUGGUUGCUUUAAACAUGUGUAGGAAUAUUCUGAGGCAAAUAAGGCUAAUCGUGCACAUGGAGGUGCUCCUCAUCGGACUGGUCGUACUUCAUUUGCUCAAUUGAAACAUGAGGUCAGAACACUAGUUUUGCAGUGAGUAAUAAGUGAUAAUAAUUAACAAUAGGACUAAUACUAAUACAAGCAGGGGAUGUAUAUAUAUAAACCAUGCUGGAAAACUGGAAUGGUAUCAUUUGUACCAGGUCCAAUUUGAAUACGGCAUGAUGGAAAUGCUGGAAAGUUUUUAUUUUCUCCAUUUAACAAUUUUCAUUACUAACUUGAUUAAACAUUGUGUGCUCUUAAGAUGAGAGAGAAGGGAGAGAAAACGGAUCAGUUGAGCAUGUUUAUAAAAACAAGAACAAAGAAAACAAAGAAUGAUGACAGAGACCUUUUCGAUGAGGAAAGUGGCCAAAUUAUUGUAAGUAUCAGUUAGGUUAUAUAUUUUUCACUCAAAGUAAAACUUUGCAUAUUCACAUCGUUUUGAUUAGUUGGGUUGUGCAUUAUUUUUAUCUUUUGGUCAUUUGAAUUGGUUGGGUCAUGUUUUGUAGAAUCAAUUUAAUCAAUGCUUGGAAGAAAGGGAAGAGCAUGAGCAAGACGAGGAUUAUCGAGAGGAGGUGUUUACUAGAGUUAUGGGACCUGAUGCAUAUGGACGUGUUCGCAUGUAUAGAACAGGUAUAACUCCAUCUCAAGUGUUUUGUCAAAGUUCAAGAUCUUCCAAUGUUAAUGAGGACACCAUACGAGAAGAGGUAGAAAGACAAUACAAGACUAAGAUAGAUGAUCUUAAGGCUAAGCAUGAAUCUGAAAUUGAAGAUCUCCGAUCCAAGUAUAGUGAAGUCAGUUCGAAACUCCAUCUUGUGACGACUCAUAUUGGUUUCCAUGUUAACACAUCACCAAGUGGAAGUGGACAGGUAUAUACAUUCGAAUGUGAUUUUGUUCUCUUUUCAAUUUAUUAGAAUAAAUUAGUGUGAAAAUUUGAGCAAUUUUGAUUUCUAUUUGUCGUGUUGGUGUUAAAUAUAGGCUCCAAAUACAUCAAGCCAUCUACAAGAAACAUAUGGGAGUAAUGAGCAACAACCUCAGUUAGACCCAGAACCAUAGAAACAAUUGCUUCAUAAAAGGUUUGUAAAGAAAACAUUAUACUAAAGAUUAAACUUUUAAUUGACACAUGUUAUUGAUGGCUGUGUAAUUCUUAUUUUUCAGGUUUGCAUGGAGAUUGUGAUGAAGAGUCUUGAUCAUAAUUAAACUCUUGAAUAUGUUGGAGCAUAUUUGAAAAAAAAAAUUAUGUUCAUAACUUUUGAGACGAGAUUAUUUAUAUUUGACUCUAGUAGGAUUAUAUGUAUUGGGAUAUGCGGAUGGUGUACUUUCAAUGUUAUUAGGAAUUCUAAAAGCAUAGUUCUUUGAUUCAUAUAUUAUUUUACUUUUGAACUUGGGAUGAUUGUGAAUAAGAUUAUAAAUUGCAACCUAAUCUUUCAUUGAACAAAUAUCAUUUCCAACCAUUUUGUAUUUAUAACAAAAAAAAUUGUAGGGAUAAAAGCAUUUACGACGUGUCAAACAUGUCCCAAAUAUUUUGUUUAAUUCCACCAUCAAAGCCGUUGCGACGCUAACUAUUGUGUCGCAAAGCUGUCGUAAAAGAACUUCGCGGCGCUUGAAAUGUGUCGCAAUAAGUUGUGAAAACUUUUGCGACAUGGGUUUGUUGCGACGCAAUCACAAGUGUCGCAUGAGCGUCGUUAAAACGCAUAAACGACGCUUUCAUGACUUAACACGACGAGUUUUUAGCGUCGUAUUUAGCAAGUUUUUUUGUAGUGACGGUAAGAAACAUGAAUUUUAUGUGUAUAUAUUUGCAAUGGUGUUCUACAUGGUAACUUAUCCAAUGUUAUUAUUUGUUAGCAGGGUACGAGAACUAUCAAGGGCCUCAUGCUCCACUUUCUCCCAUCAGAUUCAUCUCCGGUAAAUGAGGUAGGUUUCAAAACAAAGGCAUUCACAGAGAUGCUCCAUCUUGAACUACUUCUGCUUGAUAAUGUAAAGUUGAGUGGUGUGGAGCCAAAAAUAUUCACAAAGCGACACGUGGGUUUUUGGACAAAAAGGACAAAAAUACCCUCGAGGCAUACCGGGUCUCCUACACGCGAGCAGUGGAGAAUCAUCCAUCAACCAAGUCAGAAGUACCCAAAAUGGGUAACAAUUCAAAACCUAUUUCAUAUAUGUUUUUACCUCAUUGUUUCCUUAUUCAAUUAGCCAUUUAUUUCAAACAUUCCAUAACAUCCUCAACCAAUUAAUAUAAUCAAUAUAUUAAAGGCUAAUUACAUCACCAAAUCACCCCAAAAUCACACCAAGGGCCGGCCAUUCCCAUCCAAAAAGAGCCUAUCAUAUUCUCUACCUUUUCCACUAUUUUCCCUUUUUAAUUACACUAAUUAGCUAGCCAAUUAAACCCAUAACCAUCAAAACAUUCCUUUAUGUUUAAAUUAGCCAAUUAAUCAUAAUAAAUUGGCUAAUUAAACCUAAAUUAAACCUAAAAACCCUAGCCACCUCUUAACUCUAUAAAUAGGCACCUAUUCUCACCAAAAAAUCAAGUCCAACACUUUGGCAAAAAUCCCAAAAUUCUCUAAACACUCUUUCUCUCUAAAUUCUAACUUUGGCAUCGGAGGUUCUUCGGCCAAAGCCCCCCCCCCAUUCAUCGUGGGCGCGUGAGGCUCUUGGCCUUAACCUAAGGUGUUAAUUAUUUUGUAGGUGCAAAAUCGUCCAAAAUCGAGGAGGAAGAAAUUUGCAUCCACAAGUGGAAGCUAUGAAGAUUUUCCAAAAAAAUUAAUAUGGUUGUCUUGGAGAGGAUUGUCUUUAAAAUCAAUACCAGCCAAUUUUUGUUUGGAAAAUCUAGUUGCUCUUGACUUACGGAAGAGCAGUCUGCAACGUGUUUGGAAAGGAACAGGGUAUGUUCUAAUCUCUCUCACUCUCGCUCUCUCUCUAUCUUUCUCUCUCUAUCUCUCUCUCUCUCUCUCACUCCCAGUGUAUUAAAAGCGUGAGGCGUGGGCGAGGCGUCCGAGGGGAAGCCCGGCCUAGGCGUGAGGCAAAGCCUCACGGGACCUAAAUUUUUUAAUAUAUACACUGAGCGUACACAUAUAUUAUAUUAAAAAUAAGAAAAUUAUUAAUCAAUAAUCACCCUGAGCACACACAUAUAUUAUAAAUAUAUAUAUAUACACACAUAUAUAUACAUAUAUUAUAUUAUAUAUGCAUAAAAUAGAGGAUGAAAAGCACAAUGAGCACAUAUAUAACAAUGCACGCAAACAACACACAUCCAUUAUAUAAAAAAUAAAAAUCAGAAAAAAGGCAUAGAGACAAAAGUGCAAGGAAGAGGUAUGAGGCAGUUAAAAUCCUACCCAAAAUUUGGGUUUGGGAGUAAAGACAAGACAAAAAAAAAAAAAAAAAAAACUCACUGAGGCGUGCCUAGGCGGCUCCGGCGAAGCCUUUCGCCCACUCCAACAAAACUGAGGCGUUAGCCAUGGCGCCCAGCCUCAAGGGCGCCCUAGGCGCGCCUCGAGGCGAGUUUUUUAAAACAUUGCUCAAUACACACAAAUAAAAAUAAAUUUUAGUGAAAUUAGACUCUGUAUUCAUAGCAACUAAUGACUUCUCUUUGAUACAGUUUCUUACAAGAUUGAAAAUUCUUAAUCUCAGUCAUUCACAUGGCCUUUGGACAACAUCUGACUUGUCCGGACUCCCUAACCUUGAGAAACUAAUUCUUAAGGAUUGCAUUAAUUUGGUUGAUGUUGAUGAAUCCAUUGGAAACUUGGGGAAACUUGUUUUCUUGAAUCUAAAAGACUGCAAAAGUCUUAUGAAGCUUCCAAAAAGAAUGAACAUGAUGAGGUCUCUUGGGGAACUUAUUCUUACUGGUUGCUCAAAGCUUGUGCUUCAUGAUAGUGCCAUGGUUAUUUAUAUACACACUACAUCAAGGGACAUGAAUAAACUUAGACUGUUGUCAACUAUAUCAUGGACACCAAUCAGGUCUUGGUGGAUGUGGGCAUGGCCAAGAAAGACUCUUCAAUCAACCAGUUUCUCACUAGCAAGUUUACCACAUUGUUUGGGAAGCUUAAGUCUGUCUUACUGCAACGUGUCGGAGGUUCCCAAUGAUUUAUGUACACUAUCUUCCUUGAAAUAUUUGAAUCUAAUUGGUAACUCAAUUUUGUGCCUACCACCAAACAUGAAGAGUCUUAUUAUGCUCGAGACUCUUUUGUUAGAUAAAUCCAUAAACCUUGAAAUACUUCCAGAGCUGCCCCCAAGGUUGAAGAGGUUGGAAGCAAAAUAUUGUACAUCAUUGAAAAGAUUAACAAAUUUACCAUUGUUCGGAUCAUUAGAAUCACUGUUUUGGGGUUGCGAGCAAUUAGUUGAAGUUGAAAGCUUGUUGAAUAUAAAACCGUCGAGAAGCACUGACAUAGAAAUGAGAAGAUAUAUGGGCCCGUUCAAUUUGAAAUCCAUAACAAGCACUGAUGUUGAAAUGAUCAACUACUUGACCAGUACAACUAGGAAGGUUCCUGUCCAGGUCUUUCUCUCUGUCUCCUCUCUCAUGUAUAGUUGUUCUAAUUAUUAUAUCUAUGAACUAGUUGGGUCUAACUGUUUGAAUAAUUAAAUUUGAAUUGUGCAAUCUUGAUGAAGCAGGGAGUCUAUGAAUGUGGCGUAUAUAGCAUUUUCCUUCCUGGAAGCAAGAUUCCAGAUGGAUUUGGCUUCACAACAAUAUAUGGAUCAGCGCUGUCGGCUAUUGCAUCUUCACAUCCUAAUCUCAAAAUCCAAGCCUUGAAUGUAUGUGUUUUAUAUGCAAUAGAACCGGGCUUGGCAAUUGAUGACUAUCUUGUUAGUGCUCAGCAUUUAAUUAAAGUCAGUAAUCAGACCAAGGGUCUUAUGUGGACCUAUUCCUCAGUCACAGUAGGUUUUCCAACUGAGAAGGAAGAUAUGUUAUGGCUAAGCCAUUUUCAAAUUGGGAACAAUGAAUUGGAGUAUGGGGACCAAAUACGUGUUUCGGUGGAGAUGCAUGAUUUUUGGAUAAAGGAGUUCGGAAUCCAGCUUGUGUACGAGCAGGAAAAAGACCUCCUUCUAGCCAGAAUAAUGUUGUUGCUGGAGAUGUGUCAAUGUCAGCAUCAGAGUACCAAACGUGGACAGGAUCAUACUUUCUCAGUAAUCAUAGGCGCCGUACUCAUCAAACUCAAUUCCGAAAGAGACAGAAGAAUCCAGCACAUAUUGAAUUUUCGUUUGAGCCAAAGCAUUAGCUUCAUACUUAUUCAAGGCCCAAAGACAACAACAACAACAACAACAACAACAACAAAGCCUUUUCCCACCAAGUGGGGUCGGCUAUAUGAAUCCUAGAACGCCAUUGCGCUCGGUUUUGUGUCAUGUCCUCCGUUAGAUCCAAGUACUAAAAGUCUUUUCUUAGAGUCUCUUCCAAAGUUUUCCUAGGUCUUCCUCUACCCCUUCGGCCCUGAACCUCUGUCCCGUAGUCACAUCUUCGAACCGGAGCGUCAGUCGGCCUUCUUUGCACAUGUCCAAAUCACCGGAGCCGAUUUUCUCUCAUCUUUCCUACAAUUUCGGCUACUCCUACUUUACCUCGGAUAUCCUCAUUCCCAAUCUUAUCAUUUCUCGUGUGCCCACAAAUCCCACGAAGCAUCCUCAUCUCCGCUACACCCAUUUUGUGUACGUGUUGAUGCUUCACCACCCAACAUUCUGUGCCAUACAACAUCGCUGGCCUUAUUGUCGUCCUAUAAAAUUUUCCCUUGAGCUUCAAUGGCCUACGACGGUCACACAACACGCCGGAUGCACUCUUUCCAUCCAGCUCGUAUUCUAUGGUUGAGAUCUCCAUCUAAUUCUCCGUUCUCUUGCAAGAUAAAUCCUAGGUAGCGAAAACGAUCGCUUUUUGUGAUCUUCGCUAGAUUGCUCCGGUCAUUAGUGUGGAUAAGUAUAUAAAUGGAUAGAGAUAGGAAAGCAAAUACAAGAUGUACGUGGUUCACCCAGAUUGGCUACGUCCACGGAAUAGAAGAGUUCUCAUUAAUUGUGAAAGGUUUACACAAGUACAUAGGUUCAAGCUCUCCUUUAGUGAGUACAAGUGAAUGAUUUAGUACAAAUGACAUUAGGAAAUAUUGUGGGAGAAAGAUCUCGUAAUCACGAAACUUCUAAGUAUCGGAGUGUGGUGUCGUCUUGACUUGCCUUAUCUGUCUCAUAGGUAGAUGUGGCAUCUUCUCUGGAAGUACUCUUCCUCCAUCCAGGGGUGGUAUCUUUAACUGGUGGAGAUGCACAAGGUAAUGUAUCAAUUUCACUUGAAGCUUACUUGUAGUUUCAGGCUUGGUCAAGCGCGAUACAAACCAUGUAGUAGGAGUCCCCCAAGUCGCCGAGCUGGUGGAGAUGCCCUAUCUGUUCCUCAAGCAGAUGCGGAAUCUUCCCUGGAAACAUAAGAUGUUGAAGAUGAGUACUCGAGAGCAAUGCCAGGUAAGUAAUCAGGUAAGGGGUUCCAGGCAGUCAGUUCCUGGCUGGAAGCUUGAUUCCAAGUGCUGACUGAUUGCUCUCUUUCUCCUUGUCUUGCAGGUAAAAACAAGGCCAAAAGAAAAAACAGGGAAAAAGCAUGAUAUGGGAUACUCUUGCUUUUAACCCUGAUGAUAUGAGAUAUUCUUGCUCUAGUAUAGCUUGUUUGCAGAGGUAUUAUCGGGGGGAAAGAAAGCUGAAUAUUUCGAAAGGCUUCGUUGGGAGUGCCCUCUCAGAUAUGAUGAAGGGUUGAGCAUUUUUGCAGGUCUGCCUGUCCGUUGGGGAUGGAGGUCGACAUAUAUAGGAGUCUCCCUAACAACAAGUAGUAAUGCUAUUCCUUUACCCUGCUUGGUCAUAGCACGGUAGUGGGAGCUGCUAGUUUCACAUGUUUUAACUCUGUCAGAGCACUUUGAAAAAGUGGUCUGUGGUAUCUGGCUCUCGAGAUUCGGAGAACGAUGCCUCUUCGAGUUUUGAGAAAGCAAUCAUGAUGGGGGUCUGACUCUCGAGAUUCGGAGAGCAGUGUCUCUUAGAUUUUUGAGGAAGUAAUCAUGUUGGGAGUCUGGCUCUCGAGAUUCGGAGGGCGGUGCCUCUUCGAUUUUGGAGCAAGCAAUCUUGUUGGGAGUGUUGUCUCGAAUGUGAGUAAAGGUUGGACAUGUUUGCUAGUCUACCUUGCCACGAAGCACAAAGGUUGACACACAGGGACUUUCCAAUUAUCCAGCAAUGGUACUGUUCCUUUACCCUAUCUUCGAUUUUGAGAAAGUAGUUAUGUUGGGAGUCUGGCUCUCGAGAUUCGGAGGACGGUGCCUCUUCGAUUUUGGAGCAAGCAAUCUUGUUGGGAGUGUUUUCUCGAAUGUGAGUAAAGGUUGGGCAUGUUUGCUAGUCUACCUUGCCACGAAGCACAGAGGUUGACACACAGGGACUUUCCAAUUAUCCAGCAGUGGUACUGUUCCUUUACCCUUGUGGGUAAUAAUAUGGUAGCUAGACCUUCAAAAUUUAUGUGUCUAAACUUUGUUAGUGCUGUUUCUUUGCUAUUCUUUUACCUUUCUUGGUCAGAGCGAUGUAGUGGGAGCUGCAAGCUUCACGUGCUCAACUUUGGCAGAGAACUUUGGCAAAGUUAUCUGUGGUACCCAUGAGUUAUUGUUGUGUGUGGGAAGUGGGUGAUUGAACAGUAAGAUUCAUGUGCUUUCUACUUCACCAGAAGUCUUCGACAGAAUGCCCAUAAUUUCUGCAAAGCUGAGUGUGCGUGUGACAGGUGCUGACAAGGCUAGAAAAGUAGGUGCCUCUUCGAUUUCUGAGAUCGGCCCUCGUGGUCUCUGAGCAGCCCAGCUUUUGAGAAAGCGAACGCCUCUUCGAUUGAUUCGGAGAACGAUGCCUCAUCGAUUUUUGAGAAAGCAAUCAUGCUGGGGGUCUGGCUCUCGAGAUUCGGGGAGCAGUCUCUUCGAUUUUUGAGAAAGUAAUCAUGUUGGGAGAGUGGCUCUCGAGAUUCGGAAGGCGGUGCCUCUUCGAUUUUGGAGCAAGCAAUCUUGUUGGGGGUGUUUUCUCGAAUGUGAGUAAAGGUUGGGCAUGUUUGCUAGUCUACCUUGCCACGAAGCACAGAGGUUGACACACAGGGACUUUCCAAUUAUCCAGCAAUGGUACUGUUCCUUUACCCUCUCUUCGAUUUUUAAGAAAGUAAUCAUGUUGGGAGUCUGGCUCUUUAGAUUCGGAGGACGGUGCCUCUUCGAUUUUGGAGCAAGCAAUCUUAUUGGGAGUGUUUUCUCGAAUGUGAGUAAAGGUUGGGCAUGUUUGCUAGUCUACCUUGCCACGAAGCACAGAGGUUGACACACAGGGACUUUCCAAUUAUCCAGCAGUGGUACUGUUCCUUUACCCUUGUGGGUAAUAAUAUGGUAGCUAGACCUUCAAAAAAUUUAUGGGUCUAAACUUUGUUAGUGUUGUUUCUUUGCUAUUCUUUUACCUUUGUUGGUCAAAGCGAUGUAGUGGGAGCUGCAAGCUUCACGUGCUCAACUUUGGCAGAGAACUUUGGCAAAGUUAUAUGUGGUACCCAUGAGCUAUUGUUGCGUGUGGGAAGUGGGUGAUUGAACAGUAAGAUUCAUGUGUUUUCUACUUCCCCAGAAGUCUUUGACAGAAUGCCCAUAAUUUCCGCAAAGCUGAGUGUGCGUGUGACAGGUGCUGACAAGGCUGGAAAAGUAGAUGCCUCUUCGAUUUCUGAGAUCGGCCCUCGUGGUCUCUGGGGAGCCCAGCUUUUGAGAAAGCGAGCGCCUCUUCGAUUUCUGAGAUCGGCCUUCGUGGUCUUUAAGCAGCCCAACUUUUGAGAAAUCAAACGCCUCUUCGAUUUCUGAGAUCAACCCUCGUGAUCUCUAAGCAGCCCAACUUUUGAGAAAGCAAACGCCUCUUCGAUUUCUGAAGCUCCGUCGAGUGCAGAUUUUUAUAGGGGCUGGCAUUAAGUUCCAAAGCACACUUGAAUCUCCACCAGUAGAAGCUUCAUUCUUGCACUUCUAAGAUCUUGAUUUGUCCGACCUCUUCUCUCUUCAACACCUUUGAAAAUGUCUGGCCCCUCCGACCGUCGUUUUGACUUAAACCUUGUUGAAGAGGCAGCCCCGCCUUCUCCAGACAACAUAUGGCGCCCAUCCUUCGUCUCCCCAACUGGUCCUCUUACCGUUGGGGAUUCCGUGAUGAAGAAUGAUAUGACCGCUGCGGUGGUGGCCAGGAACCUUCUCACUCCCAAAGAUAACAGACUACUUUCCAAACGGUCUGAUGAGUUAGCUGUUAAGGAUUCGUUGGCUCUCAGUGUUCAGUGUGCAGGUUCUGUGUCUAAUAUGGCCCAACGCCUAUUUGCUCGAACCCGCCAAGUUGAAUCAUUGGCGGCUGAAGUGAUGAGUCUCAAACAGGAGAUUAGAGGGCUCAAGCAUGAGAAUAAACAGUUGCACCGGCUCGCACAUGACUAUGCUACAAACAUGAAGAGGAAGCUUGAUCAGAUGAAGGAAACUGAUGGUCAGGUUUUACUUGAUCAUCAGAGAUUUGUGGGUUUGUUCCAAAGGCAUUUAUUGCCUUCGUCUUCUGGGGCUGUACCACGUAAUGAAGCUCCAAAUGAUCAACCUCUGAUGCCUCCUCCUUCUAGGGUUCUGUCCAGUACUGAGGCUCCAAAUGAUCCCCCUCUGAUGCCUUCUCUUUCUGGGGCUCUCUACCGACUGCUGAGACUUCUCCUAAGCAACCUUUGUGAAGGCUCCCUCUUGUGUGUUUAUUUUGACUCAUGUAUAUGUACAUAUUUGUAGCUUAUCGGGGAUAUCAAUAAAUAAGCUUUCCUUCAUUUCAACGUAUUGUGUUAAAUACACCAAAUCCUUCUUCGCUAAGUUCUUUGAAUUUUCUUUUGUUGAAGCUUGUAUGUUGAAGCUUGUAUGAUUCAAGGCCCAAAGACCAUUGAAAAUAUUUUGAAACUUAGAGCAUGUCCAGCAGAUUCCCCAUCUACAUCUACUCACCUAUUUUGGAGAAAAUGAAGAGAAACCUCCUUAGUACUUUUUCCAACAUCAUUCGUUCAUGGUUGGAAGGAAAGAUCAGCAUCAAUUAUCCUGGUGAGUGUCGUCUUUUUGUUCUUUCUUGUUGAAUUUUUGAUGUGUAUUUCAUAUCAAAACAAUUACAAGAUGAAACAUUAUAUAGGAAAAGAAAGAGAACAUAAGCCUAACUUGCCUAACUUGCCUAACUUGCCUAAUUUCCUAACUUGCCUAACUUGCCUAAUUUACACAAAGAAGGUUGACUAGCCUAACUUCACUAGUCAUCCAACAUGUUUAUUUCAUGCAUGCAUUUUAACAAAAGAUAUGACUUGCAUGAAUUCCAACAUUUCUUGUUAUAUCUUUCUCAAUAUAAACUCAUGGGUUUGUUGGAUUUGUUGCUCUUUGUUUAUUGCUUUGAUUUGUUAAUUGAAUGAAUAUAUUAAACAAAAGGAGGGGAAAGCUCUACGAACUCGUGUAGUUGAUGCAUGUAGUACUCAGUACUACUCUUUCAGACAAUAAUCCUAACUUUUAAUCCCACUUAACGUAAUACAAUUUGGUGUCUGUAGUAUGUUUGGUGGUCUAGAUCACUCAUUUGAGAUAUACAUGUGAACCAGAAAGCUGUUUAACUUGGAAAAAGGCGAAAUUUAGCAUGCCCAUGAACUUUUAAAAUGUUGGGAGCAGCUCAGGUUUGAGUCCCAGCAAAGGAAUGCUUUUCUUAAUUUUUGCACGACUUACAGCUGGUGCGAGGGACCUCUGCGCGUUAACUAUGUGUCAGUCUGGGUCCAUUUAUUCCCUAGCCAUCAGUGUGCUGUCUAACUUUGUCUUUUAUAUUCACAAAAAAGCAUUGGCAGUCUUGACAGUGUCGAAACUGUUUACCGUGUUCAAACCGUGUGCAGGGCGUGUCAGCAUGUCAGAGUGUCUGACACUUUGAGGUUUGGGAGUGUCCGUGCAACCUAGGCUUCAAGGACGAGAUGGACAAGGUGGAGAAGUGGAGAAGAGCGCUUACUGAUGUUGCAAAUCUGGGAGGGAUGGUUCUAGAAGAUCGGUAAUUUCGUAAAACAUUUUCUUUAAUUUGAAAGUAUUAUCUAUAUAUGACCUUUUAGAGGUCGCACUUGGUGCGAUGGCAAGUGCCUUCGCCUAUGAGCGGUAGGUCUCAGGUUUGAGACUUGGGAGCAGCCUCUCCAUAAAUGGGGUAAGGCUAGCCGACAUUCACCUCUCCCAGACCCUGCGUAAAGCGGGAGCCUUGUGCACUGGGUACGACCUUUUUUUAUCUAUAUAUGACCUUUUAUAACUUGUUUAUUAGGCACAUUAUUGUUAGCUUAUUGGAGACUAAGGCCACCCCUCUUUCUUUUAGGGUAGAUAAUAUCGUUUGUUGACAAAAAAAAAAAAAAAAAAACUUGUUUAUUAGGUUGAUGAUAGUAAAGCCAUAUGGAGUUGACGGAUUUUGGGUUUAUAACUUUAUACUAUCUUUCAUGUACCUGUGCAGCAAUAUUUUUUAGAAGAUUCAAAUUUUCAAGUCAAUUUUUCAAUGUCUUAUAUAUAAUCUACCUGCAUUACUCAUGUCAAUCAUCAAUUACUCUUUUCUUUAGAUAAAAAUUACAUAGUCUUCAUAUGAUUUGAUGUCUAAUGACCAUAUGUUGUAGGGUAUGAGUGGCAGUUUAUCCAAGAUAUUGUUCAAGAGGUUGGAAGUAAGCUGGAUCGCGUGGCAGUAAAUGUUGCUCCCUAUGCUGUUGGAAUCGAUAAUUGUGUGCACGGAAUCAACAGAUGGUUAAAAGAUGAUUCGGGUGAUGCUGGUGCAGCGGUUAUCUAUGGGAUGGGUGGAAUUGGCAAAACCACCAUUGCCAAAGCUGCUAAUAAGACGAACCUUGCAAAAUUUUAAGGAAACGACAGCUUUCUUGCAGAUAUUGGCUUGCAAAUAAAUCUUCUUUCCGAUAUCCAAAGGGUGAAAGUAAAGAAAAUAAGCAAACAUGAAGGACUGAUCAAGAUUAAGCAUGCUGUAGGUUGCAAUAGAGUUCUUAUAGUUCUUGAUGAUGUGAACCAUUUGGACCAAUUCAAUGCAAUUCUUGGAAUGCGAUAGUGUUUUCACCCGGGAAGUAAAGUUACCGUAACAACUAGACAUAAAAGGCUCAUGAUAUUUAUCCAGUAUUUGAGAUUAAAGAACUGAGUGAAUAUGAAACACUGAAGCUUUUCAAGCGACAUGCCUUCGGGCAAGCCAAUCCCAUUGAAAGUUACUUGGAGUCAUGAACCUCGACCAAAUUGAAGCAAUCUUUGAGAAUCAAUUGCUAAUGGUUUGGGACUUCUGACAAGUUGGGGGUUGUCAUAAGGCCAUGUGAGUGACUGAGAUUAACGGUUCAGUCUUGGAAGGGAACCAGGGUAUGUUCUAAUCUCUCUCUCUCUCUCUCAAAAUACACACAAUCAAAAAUAAAUUUCAGUGAAAUUAAACUGUGUAUUCAUAGCAACUAAUGACUUCUCUUUGACACAGUUUCUUAGAAGAUUGAAAAUUCUAAAUCUUAGUCAUUCGCAUGGCCUUAGGACAACAUCUGACUUGUCCGGACUCCCUAAAGGAUUGCAUUAAUUUGAUUGAUGUUGAUGAAUCCAUUGGAAACUUGGGGAAACUUAUUUUCUUGAAUCUAAAAGACUGCAAAAGUCUUAUGAAGCUUCCAAAAAGAAUGAACAUGUUGAGGUCUCUUGAGGAAUUUAUUCUUACUGGUUGCUCAAAGCUUGUUCUUCAUGACAGUGCCACGGUUAUUCAUUUACACUCUACAUCUAGGGAUAUGAAUAAACUUAGACUGUUAUCAAUUAUAUCAUCGACACGAGAAAUUUUUCCAAAUGACCGGUACAACUGUUGAGUUGGAGUUCCCCUCCAAUUACAUGAUGCCACAUAUCCUACUACAGCUGCAUAGAUUAGUUUUGUUUAAUAAAAAAAAAAAAGAAAAAGAAAAAACUUGUAGAAGGUGUAAAGUCACCCUCCCAGCGGCCGAUCCCACCAAGGCGACUCACUUCCGAUUGACGACGACGAAGAAGAUUUCAGCUUCCUCGAGGACCCCACCGACCACAGCGCCGCCGCCCCGCACCAUUCAGAUUCGGACAAUUACGACGAUUUCGAGAACUUCUCCGAUGUCGACGAGGACGCUUUCAGGAGAUGAUGGCAGGCUUGGUAGCCCCAAGACUCCUAACUGGGUUUAUGGCAUUUUCAGUGAUGGGGAUGGGGUGGUGGCCAUUUUCGGUGAUGGGUUGAUGCAAUUUUGGGUUUUUGAUCAAAACCCAUCAAAAUUCACCACCACUUAGUCAAAAAUCCAAAUCAAACCCCAACAAAAACAAUCAAAUUCACAAGUUUUAUCUGAGAAAGAAAAAAAAACAUGAACAGAUUAUGGAAAAGGGUGGAAUGGAUGCGGGUGGGGCGUAAUAGAAUGGAAAAGAGAGGAAUCUGUGUUCUUCAUUUAAUUAAUUUAAAUUCUAUUCUUAAAAUAAAUAUUAUUUGUCAUUAUAAGAUGAUGUCAACCUAGAUGUCAGAUGUUAAUAGGUGGAACACCAGGUCAGCAAAUGUACCCGUCACGUGGAAAAUUUUCUCCAUGGACACCAAUCAGGUGUUGGUGGAUGUGGGCAUGGCCAGGAAAGACUCAUCAAUCAACGAGUUUCUCUCUGGCAAGUGUACGCCCUUUUUUGGGAAGCUUAAGUUUGUCUUACUGCAACAUGUCAGGUUCCCAAUAAUCUGUGUACACUAUCUUCGUUGAAGCAUUUGAAUCUAAUUGGUAAUCCAAUUUUGUGCCUACCACAAAAAAUGAAGAGUCUUAUUAUGCUUGAGACUCUUUUGUUAGAUAAUUGCACGAACCUCGAAAUUCUUCCAGAGCUCCCACCAAGGUUGAAGAGGUUAGAAGCAAAAUAUUGUACUUCAUUGAAAAGAUUAAGAAAUUUACCAAACUUAUUCAGAUCAUUGGAAUCACUUUUUUGGGGUUAUGAGCAUUUAGUUGAAGUUGAAAGCUUGUUGAAUAUAAAACCGUUGAGAAAUGCUGACAUAGAAAUGACAAGAUAUAUGGGCCUGUGCAGUUUGAAAUCCAUAUCAAGCACUGGUGUCGAAAGAUCUCCAUCUAGCCAAAAUAAUGUUGUUGCUGGAGAUGUGUCAAUGUCAGCAUAAGAGUACCAAAUGUGGACAGGAAAAUACUUUCUCAGUAAUCAUAGGCACCGUACUCAUCAGGCUCAAUGGUUCACAACUUAUUCAAGGCCCAAGGACCAUUGGAAAAUAUUGCGAGAGAGGAUGUCCAGCAGAUUCCCCAUCUGCUUCUCGUAAUCUGUUUUGGCGAAAAUGAAGAGAAACAUCCUCAGUUCUUUGUCCAACAUCAGUCAUUUCAUUUAUGGUUGGAAAGAAAGACCAGCAUCAUUUUCCUUGGUGAGUAUCGUCGUUUUGUUCUUUCUUGUUCUCGUUCUGAGUAUAUACUCAUGGCUUUGUUGGAUUUGUUGCGCUUUUUGCUUAUUGUCAUAAAGAGCAAUCAAGGAAAAAAAAACCGGAACAGUCUGCAUGAGUUUGUUGGAAAUUAUAUAUUAUAGUAUAAAAUAUUGUAAUAUAUAAUUUUAAUAAUUGAAUGAAAAAAAUAGUGUUAACCAUAUUUCUUAGAAAUGUUAUGUUAUUUAGGUGCAUUCCCUUGUUAAAUAAUGUAUACUUAUAGAUGAAAAGUUACAUCUCCUAACAAGAAGUACUUGGGUUCUAUUUAAACUCAUGAAACCAUUAUCAUUAAAUAUAGAAAAUUAGAGUUAAUUUUUACUCUUGAGAAAUAAGGUUUUCUCACUUUGUUUCUCUCAUGGUUCGUGUGUCAAAUUCCAAGUCAUGUCUUGAAAGUACGGAAUAUAUAAAGUUCGUCAGAGUUUGAAGAUUGAAGUGCUUUGACUUCGGAUUAUGGAUUUUUGAAUCUUGAGAGAUGGACACCUACUGAACUACAAGCACACGAGUAUGGGCGAAAUUCUAUCUUUAGGACAUUACAUUUAUGCAAGCCUCAAUCUCCAAGUUUGUCAGUUUUUCUAACUUUAUCUCUAGUUGUUUAUAUUAAUCUCCAAUUGGACCUGUUUCAAAAAAUAGGUUAAAAAAAUUAGACCUAUUUCAAAUUAUCCCUUAUUAUUAUUACAUUUCUUAUGUUAUUUUCAUAUUUUCUAAUCUUCAACAGAGUUUGCAUAUGAAGUUUUCAACCCCCUAUAGAGCAAAACCAACUUGAGCGUAACAGCAGUGGGGCAACAUAUGUUUCUGAAAAUCCUACAGUUAGUUUCCCUCCAAAACUCCUUACAAACGAAUCUUGAGCACCUGCAUUGCCUAAUAAUUGUUUUAACUACCAUGUUAACAGAAGUAAUAACUGUAAACGGACUAUAACAGUUGAGAAAUAUUUAAGUACCAAAAAGAGUCAGCUAUAUCAGAAUAAUUAUACUAGAGUUGAGUCGUUUAACUUCUCAUCUGUUAUGGCUUAGUCCUUUUAUGGCGGACAUUAACUCCGUUUUUCUAUAUUUUCAGAGAAAGUUCGUAAAAUUUAAAUCCUAUUGUUCUUUUUUGGCCUUUUUCUAAUAUUUUUCUGCCUUUUUCUACUGUAGUACUACUCCAGACAAUAAUCCUAGUGGCCCAAAAUUAUAUCCUAACUUUAAAUCCCAAUUAAGGUGAUAUAAUUGGUUUUUUAUGUUUAUGCUCNNNNNNNNNNNNNNNNNNNNNNNNNNNNNNNNNNNNNNNNNNNNNNNNNNNNNNNNNNNNNNNNNNNNNNNNNNNNNNNNNNNNNNNNNNNNNNNNNNNNNNNNNNNNNNNNNNNNNNNNNNNNNNNNNNNNNNNNNNNNNNNNNNNNNNNNNNNNNNNNNNNNNNNNNNNNNNNNNNNNNNNNNNNNNNNNNNNNNNNNNNNNNNNNNNNNNNNNNNNNNNNNNNNNNNNNNNNNNNNNNNNNNNNNNNNNNNNNNNNNNNNNNNNNNNNNNNNNNNNNNNNNNNNNNNNNNNNNNNNNNNNNNNNNNNNNNNNNNNNNNNNNNNNNNNNNNNNNNNNNNNNNNNNNNNNNNNNNNNNNNNNNNNNNNNNNNNNNNNNNNNNNNNNNNNNNNNNNNNNNNNNNNNNNNNNNNNNNNNNNNNNNNNNNNNNNNNNNNNNNNNNNNNNNNNNNNNNNNNNNNNNNNNNNNNNNNNNNNNNNNNNNNNNNNNNNNNNNNNNNAGUCUAUGAAUGUGGCGUAUAUAGCAUUUUCCUUCCUGGAAGCAAGAUUCCAGAUGGAUUUGGCUUCACAACAAUAUAUGGAUCAGCGCUGUCGGCUAUUGCAUCUUCACAUCCUAAUCUCAAAAUCCAAGCCUUGAAUGUAUGUGUUUUAUAUGCAAUAGAACCGGGCUUGGCAAUUGAUGACUAUCUUGUUAGUGCUCAGCAUUUAAUUAAAGUCAGUAAUCAGACCAAGGGUCUUAUGUGGACCUAUUCCUCAGUCACAGUAGGUUUUCCAACUGAGAAGGAAGAUAUGUUAUGGCUAAGCCAUUUUCAAAUUGGGAACAAUGAAUUGGAGUAUGGGGACCAAAUACGUGUUUCGGUGGAGAUGCAUGAUUUUUGGAUAAAGGAGUUCGGAAUCCAGCUUGUGUACGAGCAGGAAAGACCUCCUUCUAGCCAGAAUAAUGUUGUUGCUGGAGAUGUGUCAAUGUCAGCAUCAGAGUACCAAACGUGGACAGGAUCAUACUUUCUCAGUAAUCAUAGGCGCCGUACUCAUCAAACUCAAUUCCGAAAGAGACAGAAGAAUCCAGCACAUAUUGAAUUUUCGUUUGAGCCAAAGCAUUAGCUUCAUACUUAUUCAAGGCCCAAAGACAACAACAACAACAACAACAACAACAACAAAGCCUUUUCCCACCAAGUGGGGUCGGCUAUAUGAAUCCUAGAACGCCAUUGCGCUCGGUUUUGUGUCAUGUCCUCCGUUAGAUCCAAGUACUAAAAAGUCUUUUCUUAGAGUCUCUUUCCAAAGUUUUCCUAGGUCUUCCUCUACCCCUUCGGCCCUGAACCUCUGUCCCGUAGUCACAUCUUCGAACCGGAGCGUCAGUCGGCCUUCUUUGCACAUGUCCAAAUCACCGGAGCCGAUUUUCUCUCAUCUUUCCUACAAUUUCGGCUACUCCUACUUUACCUCGGAUAUCCUCAUUCCCAAUCUUAUCAUUUCUCGUGUGCCCACAAAUCCCACGAAGCAUCCUCAUCUCCGCUACACCCAUUUUGUGUACGUGUUGAUGCUUCACCACCCAACAUUCUGUGCCAUACAACAUCGCUGGCCUUAUUGUCGUCCUAUAAAAUUUUCCCUUGAGCUUCAAUGGCCUACGACGGUCACACAACACGCCGGAUGCACUCUUUCCAUCCAGCUCGUAUUCUAUGGUUGAGAUCUCCAUCUAAUUCUCCGUUCUCUCUUGCAAGAUAAAUCCUAGGUAGCGAAAACGAUCGCUUUUUGUGAUCUUCGCUAGAUUGCUCCGGUCAUUAGUGUGGAUAAGUAUAUAAAUGGAUAGAGAUAGGAAAGCAAAUACAAGAUGUACGUGGUUCACCCAGAUUGGCUACGUCCACGGAAUAGAAGAGUUCUCAUUAAUUGUGAAAGGUUUACACAAGUACAUAGGUUCAAGCUCUCCUUUAGUGAGUACAAGUGAAUGAUUUAGUACAAAUGACAUUAGGAAAUAUUGUGGGAGAAAGAUCUCGUAAUCACGAAACUUCUAAGUAUCGGAGUGUGGUGUGUCGUCUUGACUUGCCUUAUCUGUCUCAUAGGUAGAUGUGGCAUCUUCUCUCUGGAAGUACUCUUCCUCCAUCCAGGGGUGGUAUCUUUAACUGGUGGAGAUGCACAAGGUAAUGUAUCAAUUUCACUUGAAGCUUACUUGUAGUUUCAGGCUUGGUCAAGCGCGAUACAAACCAUGUAGUAGGAGUCCCCCAAGUCGCCGAGCUGGUGGAGAUGCCCUAUCUGUUCCUCAAGCAGAUGCGGAAUCUUCCCUGGAAACAUAAGAUGUUGAAGAUGAGUACUCGAGAGCAAUGCCAGGUAAGUAAUCAGGUAAGGGGUUCCAGGCAGUCAGUUCCUGGCUGGAAGCUUGAUUCCAAGUGCUGACUGAUUGCUCUCUUUCUCCUUGUCUUGCAGGUAAAAACAAGGCCAAAAGAAAAAACAGGGAAAAAGCAUGAUAUGGGAUACUCUUGCUUUUAACCCUGAUGAUAUGAGAUAUUCUUGCUCUAGUAUAGCUUGUUUGCAGAGGUAUUAUCGGGGGGAAAGAAAGCUGAAUAUUUCGAAAGGCUUCGUUGGGAGUGCCCUCUCAGAUAUGAUGAAGGGUUGAGCAUUUUUGCAGGUCUGCCUGUCCGUUGGGGAUGGAGGUCGACAUAUAUAGGAGUCUCCCUAACAACAAGUAGUAAUGCUAUUCCUUUACCCUGCUUGGUCAUAGCACGGUAGUGGGAGCUGCUAGUUUCACAUGUUUUAACUCUGUCAGAGCACUUUGAAAAAGUGGUCUGUGGUAUCUGGCUCUCGAGAUUCGGAGAACGAUGCCUCUUCGAGUUUUGAGAAAGCAAUCAUGAUGGGGGUCUGACUCUCGAGAUUCGGAGAGCAGUGUCUCUUAGAUUUUUGAGGAAGUAAUCAUGUUGGGAGUCUGGCUCUCGAGAUUCGGAGGGGCGGUGCCUCUUCGAUUUUGGAGCAAGCAAUCUUGUUGGGAGUGUUGUCUCGAAUGUGAGUAAAGGUUGGACAUGUUUGCUAGUCUACCUUGCCACGAAGCACAAAGGUUGACACACACAGGGACUUUCCAAUUAUCCAGCAAUGGUACUGUUCCUUUACCCUAUCUUCGAUUUUGAGAAAGUAGUUAUGUUGGGAGUCUGGCUCUCGAGAUUCGGAGGACGGUGCCUCUUCGAUUUUGGAGCAAGCAAUCUUGUUGGGAGUGUUUUCUCGAAUGUGAGUAAAGGUUGGGCAUGUUUGCUAGUCUACCUUGCCACGAAGCACACAGAGGUUGACACACAGGGACUUUCCAAUUAUCCAGCAGUGGUACUGUUCCUUUACCCUUGUGGGUAAUAAUAUGGUAGCUAGACCUUCAAAAUUUAUGUGUCUAAACUUUGUUAGUGCUGUUUCUUUGCUAUUCUUUUACCUUUCUUGGUCAGAGCGAUGUAGUGGGAGCUGCAAGCUUCACGUGCUCAACUUUGGCAGAGAACUUUGGCAAAGUUAUCUGUGGUACCCAUGAGUUAUUGUUGUGUGUGGGAAGUGGGUGAUUGAACAGUAAGAUUCAUGUGCUUUCUACUUCACCAGAAGUCUUCGACAGAAUGCCCAUAAUUUCUGCAAAGCUGAGUGUGCGUGUGACAGGUGCUGACAAGGCUAGAAAAGUAGGUGCCUCUUCGAUUUCUGAGAUCGGCCCUCGUGGUCUCUGAGCAGCCCCAGCUUUUGAGAAAGCGAACGCCUCUUCGAUUGAUUCGGAGAACGAUGCCUCAUCGAUUUUUGAGAAAGCAAUCAUGCUGGGGGUCUGGCUCUCGAGAUUCGGGGAGCAGUCUCUUCGAUUUUUUGAGAAAGUAAUCAUGUUGGGAGAGUGGCUCUCGAGAUUCGGAAGGCGGUGCCUCUUCGAUUUUGGAGCAAGCAAUCUUGUUGGGGGUGUUUUCUCGAAUGUGAGUAAAGGUUGGGCAUGUUUGCUAGUCUACCUUGCCACGAAGCACAGAGGUUGACACACACAGGGACUUUCCAAUUAUCCAGCAAUGGUACUGUUCCUUUACCCUCUCUUUCGAUUUUUAAGAAAGUAAUCAUGUUGGGAGUCUGGCUCUUUAGAUUCGGAGGACGGUGCCUCUUCGAUUUUGGAGCAAGCAAUCUUAUUGGGAGUGUUUUCUCGAAUGUGAGUAAAGGUUGGGCAUGUUUGCUAGUCUACCUUGCCACGAAGCACAGAGGUUGACACACAGGGACUUUCCAAUUAUCCAGCAGUGGUACUGUUCCUUUACCCUUGUGGGUAAUAAUAUGGUAGCUAGACCUUCAAAAAUUUAUGGGUCUAAACUUUGUUAGUGUUGUUUCUUUGCUAUUCUUUUACCUUUGUUGGUCAAAGCGAUGUAGUGGGAGCUGCAAGCUUCACGUGCUCAACUUUGGCAGAGAACUUUGGCAAAGUUAUAUGUGGUACCCAUGAGCUAUUGUUGCGUGUGGGAAGUGGGUGAUUGAACAGUAAGAUUCAUGUGUUUUCUACUUCCCCAGAAGUCUUUGACAGAAUGCCCAUAAUUUCCGCAAAGCUGAGUGUGCGUGUGACAGGUGCUGACAAGGCUGGAAAAGUAGAUGCCUCUUCGAUUUCUGAGAUCGGCCCUCGUGGUCUCUGGGGAGCCCAGCUUUUGAGAAAGCGAGCGCCUCUUCGAUUUCUGAGAUCGGCCUUCGUGGUCUUUAAGCAGCCCAACUUUUGAGAAAUCAAACGCCUCUUCGAUUUCUGAGAUCAACCCUCGUGAUCUCUAAGCAGCCCAACUUUUGAGAAAGCAAACGCCUCUUCGAUUUCUGAAGCUCCGUCGAGUGCAGAUUUUUAUAGGGGCUGGCAUUAAGUUCCAAAGCACACUUGAAUCUCCACCAGUAGAAGCUUCAUUCUUGCACUUCUAAGAUCUUGAUUUGUCCGACCUCUUCUCUCUUCAACACCUUUGAAAAUGUCUGGCCCCUCCGACCGUCGUUUUGACUUAAACCUUGUUGAAGAGGCAGCCCCGCCUUCUCCAGACAACAUAUGGCGCCCAUCCUUCGUCUCCCCAACUGGUCCUCUUACCGUUGGGGAUUCCGUGAUGAAGAAUGAUAUGACCGCUGCGGUGGUGGCCAGGAACCUUCUCACUCCCAAAGAUAACAGACUACUUUCCAAACGGUCUGAUGAGUUAGCUGUUAAGGAUUCGUUGGCUCUCAGUGUUCAGUGUGCAGGUUCUGUGUCUAAUAUGGCCCAACGCCUAUUUGCUCGAACCCGCCAAGUUGAAUCAUUGGCGGCUGAAGUGAUGAGUCUCAAAACAGGAGAUUAGAGGGCUCAAGCAUGAGAAUAAACAGUUGCACCGGCUCGCACAUGACUAUGCUACAAACAUGAAGAGGAAGCUUGAUCAGAUGAAGGAAACUGAUGGUCAGGUUUUACUUGAUCAUCAGAGAUUUGUGGGUUUGUUCCAAAGGCAUUUAUUGCCUUCGUCUUCUGGGGCUGUACCACGUAAUGAAGCUCCAAAUGAUCAACCUCUGAUGCCUCCUCCUUCUAGGGUUCUGUCCAGUACUGAGGCUCCAAAUGAUCCCCCUCUGAUGCCUUCUCUUUCUGGGGCUCUACCGACUGCUGAGACUUCUCCUAAGCAACCUUUGUGAAGGCUCCCUCUUGUGUGUUUAUUUUGACUCAUGUAUAUGUACAUAUUUGUAGCUUAUCGGGGAUAUCAAUAAAUAAGCUUUCCUUCAUUUCAACGUAUUGUGUUAAAUACACCAAAUCCUUCUUCGCUAAGUUCUUUGAAUUUUCUUUUGUUGAAGCUUGUAUGUUGAAGCUUGUAUGAUUCAAGGCCCAAAGACCAUUGAAAAUAUUUUGAAACUUAGAGCAUGUCCAGCAGAUUCCCCAUCUACAUCUACUCACCUAUUUUGGAGAAAAUGAAGAGAAACCUCCUUAGUACUUUUUCCAACAUCAUUCGUUCAUGGUUGGAAGGAAAGAUCAGCAUCAAUUAUCCUGGUGAGUGUCGUCUUUUUGUUCUUUCUUGUUGAAUUUUUGAUGUGUAUUUCAUAUCAAAACAAUUACAAGAUGAAACAUUAUAUAGGAAAAGAAAGAGAACAUAAGCCUAAACUUGCCUAACUUGCCUAACUUGCCUAAUUUCCUAACUUGCCUAACUUGCCUAAUUUACACAAAGAAGGUUGACUAGCCUAACUUCACUAGUCAUCCAACAUGUUUAUUUCAUGCAUGCAUUUUAACAAAAGAUAUGACUUGCAUGAAUUCCAACAUUUCUUGUUAUAUCUUUCUCAAUAUAAACUCAUGGGUUUGUUGGAUUUGUUGCUCUUUGUUUAUUGCUUUGAUUUGUUAAUUGAAUGAAUAUAUUAAACAAAAGGAGGGGAAAGCUCUACGAACUCGUGUAGUUGAUGCAUGUAGUACUCAGUACUACUCUUUCAGACAAUAAUCCUAACUUUUAAUCCCACUUAACGUAAUACAAUUUGGUGUCUGUAGUAUGUUUGGUGGUCUAGAUCACUCAUUUGAGAUAUACAUGUGAACCAGAAAGCUGUUUAACUUGGAAAAAGGCGAAAUUUAGCAUGCCCAUGAACUUUUAAAAUGUUGGGAGCAGCUCAGGUUUGAGUCCCAGCAAAGGAAUGCUUUUCUUAAUUUUUGCACGACUUACAGCUGGUGCGAGGGACCUCUGCGCGUUAACUAUGUGUCAGUCUGGGUCCAUUUAUUCCCUAGCCAUCAGUGUGCUGUCUAACUUUGUCUUUUAUAUUCACAAAAAAGCAUUGGCAGUCUUGACAGUGUCGAAACUGUUUACCGUGUUCAAACCGUGUGCAGGGCGUGUCAGCAUGUCAGAGUGUCUGACACUUUGAGGUUUGGGAGUGUCCGUGCAACCUAGGCUUCAAGGACGAGAUGGACAAGGUGGAGAAGUGGAGAAGAGCGCUUACUGAUGUUGCAAAUCUGGGAGGGAUGGUUCUAGAAGAUCGGUAAUUUCGUAAAACAUUUUCUUUAAUUUGAAAGUAUUAUCUAUAUAUGACCUUUUAGAGGUCGCACUUGGUGCGAUGGCAAGUGCCUUCGCCUAUGAGCGGUAGGUCUCAGGUUUGAGACUUGGGAGAGCAGCCUCUCCAUAAAUGGGGUAAGGCUAGCCGACAUUCACCUCUCCCAGACCCUGCGUAAAGCGGGAGCCUUGUGCACUGGGUACGACCUUUUUUUAUCUAUAUAUGACCUUUUAUAACUUGUUUAUUAGGCACAUUAUUGUUAGCUUAUUGGAGACUAAGGCCACCCCUCUUUCUUUUAGGGUAGAUAAUAUCGUUUGUUGACAAAAAAAAAAAAAAAAAAACUUGUUUAUUAGGUUGAUGAUAGUAAAGCCAUAUGGAGUUGACGGAUUUUGGGUUUAUAACUUUAUACUAUCUUUCAUGUACCUGUGCAGCAAUAUUUUUUAGAAGAUUCAAAUUUUCAAGUCAAUUUUUCAAUGUCUUAUAUAUAAUCUACCUGCAUUACUCAUGUCAAUCAUCAAUUACUCUUUUCUUUAGAUAAAAAUUACAUAGUCUUCAUAUGAUUUGAUGUCUAAUGACCAUAUGUUGUAGGGUAUGAGUGGCAGUUUAUCCAAGAUAUUGUUCAAGAGGUUGGAAGUAAGCUGGAUCGCGUGGCAGUAAAUGUUGCUCCCUAUGCUGUUGGAAUCGAUAAUUGUGUGCACGGAAUCAACAGAUGGUUAAAAGAUGAUUCGGGUGAUGCUGGUGCAGCGGUUAUCUAUGGGAUGGGUGGAAUUGGCAAAACCACCAUUGCCAAAGCUGCUAAUAAGACGAACCUUGCAAAAUUUUAAGGAAACGACAGCUUUCUUGCAGAUAUUGGCUUGCAAAUAAAUCUUCUUUCCGAUAUCCAAAGGGUGAAAGUAAAGAAAAUAAGCAAACAUGAAGGACUGAUCAAGAUUAAGCAUGCUGUAGGUUGCAAUAGAGUUCUUAUAGUUCUUGAUGAUGUGAACCAUUUGGACCAAUUCAAUGCAAUUCUUGGAAUGCGAUAGUGUUUUCACCCGGGAAGUAAAAGUUACCGUAACAACUAGACAUAAAAGGCUCAUGAUAUUUAUCCAGUAUUUGAGAUUAAAGAACUGAGUGAAUAUGAAAACACUGAAGCUUUUCAAGCGACAUGCCUUCGGGCAAGCCAAUCCCAUUGAAAGUUACUUGGAGUCAUGAACCUCGACCAAAUUGAAGCAAUCUUUGAGAAUCAAUUGCUAAUGGUUUGGGACUUCUGACAAGUUGGGGGUUGUCAUAAGGCCAUGUGAGUGACUGAGAUUAACGGUUCAGUCUUGGAAGGGAACCAGGGUAUGUUCUAAUCUCUCUCUCUCUCUCUCUCAAAAUACACACAAUCAAAAAUAAAUUUCAGUGAAAUUAAACUGUGUAUUCAUAGCAACUAAUGACUUCUCUUUGACACAGUUUCUUAGAAGAUUGAAAAUUCUAAAUCUUAGUCAUUCGCAUGGCCUUAGGACAACAUCUGACUUGUCCGGACUCCCUAAAGGAUUGCAUUAAUUUGAUUGAUGUUGAUGAAUCCAUUGGAAACUUGGGGAAACUUAUUUUCUUGAAUCUAAAAGACUGCAAAAGUCUUAUGAAGCUUCCAAAAAGAAUGAACAUGUUGAGGUCUCUUGAGGAAUUUAUUCUUACUGGUUGCUCAAAGCUUGUUCUUCAUGACAGUGCCACGGUUAUUCAUUUACACUCUACAUCUAGGGAUAUGAAUAAACUUAGACUGUUAUCAAUUAUAUCAUCGACACGAGAAAUUUUUCCAAAUGACCGGUACAACUGUUGAGUUGGAGUUCCCCUCCAAUUACAUGAUGCCACAUAUCCUACUACAGCUGCAUAGAUUAGUUUUGUUUAAUAAAAAAAAAAAAGAAAAAGAAAAAACUUGUAGAAGGUGUAAAGUCACCCUCCCAGCGGCCGAUCCCCACCAAGGCGACUCACUUCCGAUUGACGACGACGAAGAAGAUUUCAGCUUCCUCGAGGACCCCACCGACCACAGCGCCGCCGCCCCGCACCAUUCAGAUUCGGACAAUUACGACGAUUUCGAGAACUUCUCCGAUGUCGACGAGGACGCUUUCAGGAGAUGAUGGCAGGCUUGGUAGCCCCAAGACUCCUAACUGGGUUUAUGGCAUUUUCAGUGAUGGGGAUGGGGUGGUGGCCAUUUUCGGUGAUGGGUUGAUGCAAUUUUGGGUUUUUGAUCAAAACCCAUCAAAAUUCACCACCACUUAGUCAAAAAUCCAAAUCAAACCCCAACAAAAACAAUCAAAUUCACAAGUUUUAUCUGAGAAAGAAAAAAAAACAUGAACAGAUUAUGGAAAAGGGUGGAAUGGAUGCGGGUGGGGCGUAAUAGAAUGGAAAAGAGAGGAAUCUGUGUUCUUCAUUUAAUUAAUUUAAAUUCUAUUCUUAAAAUAAAUAUUAUUUGUCAUUAUAAAAGAUGAUGUCAACCUAGAUGUCAGAUGUUAAUAGGUGGAACACCAGGUCAGCAAAUGUACCCGUCACGUGGAAAAUUUUCUCCAUGGACACCAAUCAGGUGUUUGGUGGAUGUGGGCAUGGCCAGGAAAGACUCAUCAAUCAACGAGUUUCUCUCUGGCAAGUGUACGCCCUUUUUUGGGGAAGCUUAAGUUUGUCUUACUGCAACAUGUCAGGUUCCCAAUAAUCUGUGUACACUAUCUUCGUUGAAGCAUUUGAAUCUAAUUGGUAAUCCAAUUUUGUGCCUACCACAAAAAAUGAAGAGUCUUAUUAUGCUUGAGACUCUUUUGUUAGAUAAUUGCACGAACCUCGAAAUUCUUCCAGAGCUCCCACCAAGGUUGAAGAGGUUAGAAGCAAAAUAUUGUACUUCAUUGAAAAGAUUAAGAAAUUUACCAAACUUAUUCAGAUCAUUGGAAUCACUUUUUUGGGGUUAUGAGCAUUUAGUUGAAGUUGAAAGCUUGUUGAAUAUAAAACCGUUGAGAAAUGCUGACAUAGAAAUGACAAGAUAUAUGGGCCUGUGCAGUUUGAAAUCCAUAUCAAGCACUGGUGUCGAAAGAUCUCCAUCUAGCCAAAAUAAUGUUGUUGCUGGAGAUGUGUCAAUGUCAGCAUAAGAGUACCAAAUGUGGACAGGAAAAUACUUUCUCAGUAAUCAUAGGCACCGUACUCAUCAGGCUCAAUGGUUCACAACUUAUUCAAGGCCCAAGGACCAUUGGAAAAUAUUGCGAGAGGAUGUCCAGCAGAUUCCCCAUCUGCUUCUCGUAAUCUGUUUUGGCGAAAAUGAAGAGAAACAUCCUCAGUUCUUUGUCCAACAUCAGUCAUUUCAUUUAUGGUUGGAAAGAAAGACCAGCAUCAUUUUCCUUGGUGAGUAUCGUCGUUUUGUUCUUUCUUGUUCUCGUUCUGAGUAUAUACUCAUGGCUUUGUUGGAUUUGUUGCGCUUUUUGCUUAUUGUCAUAAAGAGCAAUCAAGGAAAAAAAACCGGAACAGUCUGCAUGAGUUUGUUGGAAAUUAUAUAUUAUAGUAUAAAAUAUUGUAAUAUAUAAUUUUAAUAAUUGAAUGAAAAAAUAGUGUUAACCAUAUUUCUUAGAAAUGUUAUGUUAUUUAGGUGCAUUCCCUUGUUAAAUAAUGUAUACUUAUAGAUGAAAAGUUACAUCUCCUAACAAGAAGUACUUGGGUUCUAUUUAAACUCAUGAAACCAUUAUCAUUAAAUAUAGAAAAUUAGAGUUAAUUUUUACUCUUGAGAAAUAAGGUUUUCUCACUUUGUUUCUCUCAUGGUUCGUGUGUCAAAUUCCAAGUCAUGUCUUGAAAGUACGGAAUAUAUAAAGUUCGUCAGAGUUUGAAGAUUGAAGUGCUUUGACUUCGGAUUAUGGAUUUUUGAAUCUUGAGAGAUGGACACCUACUGAACUACAAGCACACGAGUAUGGGCGAAAUUCUAUCUUUAGGACAUUACAUUUAUGCAAGCCUCAAUCUCCAAGUUUGUCAGUUUUUCUAACUUUAUCUCUAGUUGUUUAUAUUAAUCUCCAAUUGGACCUGUUUCAAAAAUAGGUUAAAAAAUUAGACCUAUUUCAAAUUAUCCCUUAUUAUUAUUACAUUUCUUAUGUUAUUUUCAUAUUUUCUAAUCUUCAACAGAGUUUGCAUAUGAAGUUUUCAACCCCCUAUAGAGCAAAACCAACUUGAGCGUAACAGCAGUGGGGCAACAUAUGUUUCUGAAAAUCCUACAGUUAGUUUCCCUCCAAAACUCCUUACAAACGAAUCUUGAGCACCUGCAUUGCCUAAUAAUUGUUUUAACUACCAUGUUAACAGAAGUAAUAACUGUAAACGGACUAUAACAGUUGAGAAAUAUUUAAGUACCAAAAAGAGUCAGCUAUAUCAGAAUAAUUAUACUAGAGUUGAGUCGUUUAACUUCUCAUCUGUUAUGGCUUAGUCCUUUUAUGGCGGACAUUAACUCCGUUUUUCUAUAUUUUCAGAGAAAGUUCGUAAAAUUUAAAUCCUAUUGUUCUUUUUUGGCCUUUUUCUAAUAUUUUUCUGCCUUUUUCUACUGUAGUACUACUCCAGACAAUAAUCCUAGUGGCCCAAAAUUAUAUCCUAACUUUAAAUCCCAAUUAAGGUGAUAUAAUUGGUUUUUUAUGUUUAUGCUCGCUAGAAACCUCAUUGAUCACUCAUUGGUGCCUGUAGUAUUUGUGGUGUUCUAGAUCACUCAUUUGAGCAAUACAUGCGAACCAAAAUGUGGGUAGCAGCUCAGGUUCAUGCUUUCUUAAUUUUUGCACGACUAGCAGCUGGUGCAAGGGACCUCCUUGUGUUAACUACGUGCCAGUCUGGGUCCAUUUACUGCACGUUAACUUGGGAAUGACCUAACGAGGACCUGAGAUACUCAAGAACCCGUACCACACUUUUUCUUUUUCUCUCUUUUUCCUUUUUGUUUUAGGAUUGGUUUGGUAUUGCUGUGUUUUGAAAAAAAAUUAUUGUGAAAAUAAGCGGGUGUGCUGUAAGAAUAAGCGGCUGUGAAAUAAAUCAGCAGGGUGUUUGGUAAACUUUUUUGUAAAAAUACUUUUGGAAAAAAAAGCAGUCUAAUAGUGGGUCUUUUCAUUAAAGAAGCAUUGUAGCUCCGUGUGUUUUAAAAAAAAGCCAAUUUUCCAAAACUGCAAAUAGCAGCUUCAGCUUUUUCCUUUGAUUUCAGCUUAUUCUCACAGCAGCUUCCAAAAUAAGCUUUUUUUUUUCAGUUUACCAAACACCUAAAACCCUCACAGUUUUUUUUCAUGGGUGUUUUUUUUUUAAGCACCUCACUCCCAAACUAGGUCUUAGUCAUAUCUUUUUCUUUCCGUGCGGACCUCAUCGAAAUCAAACAAAAAAAGGAAAAAUUAAACUCAUCAUUAACUUCCGGAUGAAACUUUAAACCAAGUGGUGUGAGAUUUUUCCAUGAUUCAGGUGGGGGGAGGUGGGCUGGGGUCAGUUCUCAUUAUUUACUCACCCCUACACAUCUGUGCAUCCACCCCAAUUUAGAUGUUUUGGGACCUUGGACUAACAAUAUUUUUUAAGAGGUGUGAUAUCCACACACCUCAUUUUACUUCUCACGCAUCCUUGAUAAUUUCUGUCCGUUGAUCUUCUUCAAUUCAUCCGAUCUGACGGCCGAAAAUUAUAAAGGUGUGUGAGAAGUAAAAUGGGGUGUGUGAAUAUCAUACCUCUUUUUCAAAUACUAGAGAUGAGAUUGGAGAGAGAUGUGAGGAGGGAGGAGGAGCGAGAGAGAAUAGUACGGUUACAUUUUAGAAUUUUUAUGACAUAAAAUAUUAAUAAUGAUAAAAGUUAACUAGAGUUAUGUGAGAGGACAUAUAUCAAGCUAAAAGUGUGUGGAUAGCAUACAUCAGGAUAAGUUCAAUGCAUUUUUACUCACUGCUCUCAAGUGAUGGUGAUGCUCACAAUAUUUUUAUUACAGUUCGAUAAGUUUAAUUUUUAAAAUUUAUGUCUUCCACAGCAAAACAGAUUACAAAUAAUAAACAUACGAACAAACGGAUUACAAAUUAUUGAAUAUAUUUGACUAACAAAACAACAAAGAAACAGGAUUGUCGAGACGACUACACUCAACUACAUAGCAACUUAUUAUCCAUCUAAACAAACUACAUUUGUGGGGAGCAAAAUCUAAGAAAUCCUAAUUCAAAUGGGAUAGACCUAAAUCAUAAACUAAUAAGCAAAACCAAAUAAUGAAAUAACUAAUUUUUCAACACUCGUCAAAUUCAAGAGGGUACGUGACAUGAGUUUACCAACAAAUAAAUUUUAAUUUAGACAUAAUGAUGUUGAGAGUAUAAAAAGAAAGUAAAUAAGUACUCACCACAAAUAAGAUUUUCAUAUUUCAAUUCCAACAAUGAACAAACAAAAACAACACUUUCACUCGAAUAUUCACAGAUCCCAAACAAGCCAAUAACUCGCAUCGGCCUCAAGGACUUCAUAAAACAAACCGCCCAUUUCAUUUUUCCCUUUGCCCGUGUGGGCCAAAACCUCAACCAAUUUCCAAUUAUUUCUUUUCCGUGUGGACCUCAAACAUACCACCACUUUUUCUUCUUUUUCUUUUUCUAUCUUUUUUCCUUUUCUUUUUCCCCAUCUUUUACUCACCCUCGUUUACCAAAAAGAAAAAGCAAAGAGAAAACAAAAGAUUCGUCCUUCUUCUUCAGCUGCUCUGGUAGCAUCUCCCACCUCCUCUUCUUCAUCAACUAUUAAGACCGACUCCCAUUCAGAUCCUUGAAAAUUUGGGCAUGGAACUAUAGUUAUCUACUUAAGGUUGCGAGUGAGCAAAAUUUGAUUUGUGAAAUCGUCCAUUUCAAAGUGUCUUUUUGAAGAAACUAGUUGGGACUUUCAUCCAACAGCUUGCCGGCAGAAAGAAAAUUCGCAGCUUUCGGUAUCUUACAAUACACAACUCUGGUGUGUGCGAGGUACCUUCAAGCUCCCCUCUUGUGAAAACAUACAUCUGCUUUAGCUUUCAAUUGAAAUCUUCAUGGCCGAUGAGUCAAAUGCAUUGACUUUGGAUCCUCUUGCUUUCUUAUCUUUAUUUUUCUUUUUAAUAUUUUCCUAUUAAAACUAAGAUCUAAAGUCUUUAAAUUCAUGGAAAUUAUUUUGUAAGACUUCAAUAUUUUUUUUUUUUUUUCAGAAACGUGAACUAAAUCCAUUUCAUGAAGAAAGAUCUAGUCCUUUUCGUUUUUUUCUUCUUAAAAUAAAUAUGAGUCAUUAUUAUUAAUAAUUAAUUUUUUUUAAAUUGGUAGAAUAUAUUUUUGCAUAAAGUUUUAAUAAGAAUUUCUUUUAGGAUUACACAUAAUGUGUCGUUAGCUUUUUACAUACCAAAUUUAUGAUAAUAUUUAUGUACGGAUAGUUUUCUAUGUAUUUAAAUAAUAAUUACAUAACAUACCAAAACAAAUUUGUACACAAAUUUGAAUUACAUAGCAUGCCAAUAACGUACCAAAUUAUUGACACGUUACAUUUAGUAAAUAAAAGCAUUGAUAUAUAUAUAUAUAUAUAUAUAUGUAAUAUCGUUUAGAAUUUUAAAGUACGUUGGUACUUUUAAAAUAUCACGUUUGAUUUUUUUUUGUUUUUUGCAACCACAGUUUAACUUUAUUUUAUUUUAUAAACAAUUCAACUUUUAUUGUUUUUAUAGAACUUUUAUUGUUUUUUAUUCUUUUAAAAUAUAUUGAAAUAAAAAGAUAUAAAUUAACAAUAUAUUGAAAAAAAAUUAGAUAUUUGGUCUAAGAAAUUAAAAAACCGCGCAUCUAGAUCAAAAAGAUAUAAAUUAACAUUAUUUGUUUGUUUUUUAUUCUUACUAGACAACAAUUUAUCUUUUUUUUUGGCCUUCUGAGUGCUACUCGAGACUCCAACUUAUUAGAUUUUCCAUCAAUUUUUGAGAUCCCAAAUGGCGAGCCAAUGUUUCAACGCGUAUUCUAUUCACAUUUUACAACUAAUAAGAAUUUGCCUUGUGACUUGGUAACCAAUAACUGGUGUCUCUUGUACUAUUAUUAUGUUUAUCAUAUGAUUCAUAUGAUGCAUCUCAGUGUAAAAUCCGAUAUGUUUGGUAGCUGGAGAAUAUAUUCUCAAUUUGCAUUCCAAUUUGUAUAUAAUAACUCUUCUUCAUGCAUUCACUGCUACAGAUAGACUCUAUUCAAUAGAUGCAAUGAGCACCGAGCAGCAGAAUCCUUCUUCGUCUUCUAACCGGUGCACAUAUGAUGCAUUCUUGAGUUUCAGAGGCGCAGAUACACGCAAGGGCUUUACAGAUCACCUCUACAAUGCUUUGAAGUUAGCAGGAAUCCACACUUUUAGGGAUGAUGAUGAAAUUGAGAGAGGAGAAAACAUUGCACAGGAGCUACAGACAGCAAUACAAGAGUCACAAGUAUCAAUCAUUGUUUUCUCCAAGGACUACGCCUCUUCCACGUGGUGCCUGAAUGAACUUGCUAUCAUCAUGGAACGUAAAAGAACAGAUGGACACAUGGUUAUCCCAGUUUUCUAUUAUGUGGAACCAUCAGAUGUCAGGAAGCAGACGGGCAGUUUUGCAGAAUCAUUUACUAGACAUCAAGAACAAUUCAAGGACGAGAUAGACAAGGUGGAGGAGUGGAGGCGAGCUCUUAGAGAUGUUGCAGACUUGGGAGGGAUGGUUUUAAAAGACCGGUAAUUUUUCAUUCUCUCCUAUAUUCAGUCAAGUAGAUCAGAUGCUAGUCUCAAGCUUGUGAAAAUUUUAGUUUUUUUUUUUUUGAAAAAAUAAAUAAAUAACUUGCUUGUGUCUUUUCUUUUGGUCUGAAAAUAAAGAAAUUACUGUGCCUCAUAUAUUUUGAUAUCAAUAACAUAUAGGUAUGAGUGGCAGUUUAUCCAAGAAAUUGUUGAAGUGAUUGGAAAUGAACUGGACUACAUGACGAAUAGGAGAUUAAGAGUUGAUCCCCAUGUGAUUGGACGAGGUUACUAUGUGGAAAGCCUAAACAUGUGGCUGGAAGAUGGAUCAAAUGAUGUUGGAGUAGCUGUCAUCCAUGGAAUGGGUGGAAUAGGCAAGACCACCAUUGCUAAAAUUGCUUAUAACCAGAACUUCAAUAAAUUUCAAGCUAGCAGCUUUCUUUCAGAUAUUAGGGAAACUUCCAAACAAGCCAAUGGUUUUGUUCACUUGCAAAUGAAGCUUCUUUCAGAUAUCCAAAGGGGGAAAAUGGAAAAAAUAUACAGCCUUGAUGAAGGUAUAGUAAAGAUCAAACGGGUUGUACGUUGCAAAAGAGUUCUUAUUGUUCUUGAUGAUGUGGAGAACUUGGAACAGUUCACUGCAAUUCUUGGAAUGCGAGACUGGUUCCAUCCUGGAAGUAAAAUUAUCAUAACAACUAGACAUGAGUUAAAGGCUCAUGAAGUUUGUGUAAGGUUUAAGGUUGAAGGAUUACAUGCGCAUCAAUCUCUUACACUUUUCAGUUGGCAUGCCUUCGGACAAUCCCAUCCUCAGGAAGGUUACAUGGAGCAUUCAAGACACCUAGUAAAAUGUUGUGGAGGGGUUCCAUUAGCUCUUCAAGUUCUGGGAUCUUCUCUAUUUGGAAAAACAGCAAAUGUAUGGGAAAAUGUAGUACGCAAGUUAAAGGAAAAUGCAGUACCCACCUUAGACGUGAUUACUGAGGGAAAAAUUCAAAAGAUUCUUUGCAUAAGUUUUGAUUCUUUACAAGAUCAUGAUAAAUGUUUAUUCCUCCAUAUAGCCUGUUUCUUCAUAGGAAAAGACAAGGAUUUUGCAACUACAAUCCUUGAUGAAUGUGAUUUUGCGACAGAAGUUGGACUUCAACACCUAGUUGAUAGAUGCCUUGUGGAAAUUAAUGCCCGCAACAAGUUAACCAUGCAUCAAUUGCUUGAAAACAUGGGAAGGGCAAUAAUUCACAAUGAAUCACCUGAGGACCCUGGAAAACGCACUAGACUGUGGCAUAAAAAAGAAGCAAGUGACGUUUUGAGAAAUUUAACGGUAAGAAACAUGAUCUUUAACUGUAUUUAUUUGCAUUGGUGUUCUACAUGUGACUAGUAACUUAUCCAAUGCUCUUAUUUGGUGGCAGGGUAAGAGAAGUAUUAAGGGCCUCAUGCUCCACUGUCCCUCAACAUUUGAAACAAAGGCAUUUACAAAGAUGCUCAAUCUUGAACUACUUCUGCUUGAUAAUGUAAAGUUGAGUGGAAGCUAUGAAGAUUUUCCAAAAAAAUUGAUAUGGCUGUCUUGGCGAGGAUUCUCUUUAAAAUCAAUACCAGCCAAUUUUUGUAUGGAAAAUCUAGUUGUUCUCGACUUACGGAAGAGCAGUCUGCAACAUGUUUGGAACGGAACCAAGGUAUCUUCUAAUCUCUCUCGCUCUCUCUCUCUCUCAAUACACACAACAAAAAUAAAUUUCAGUGAAAGUAAACUGUGUAUUCAUAGCAACUAAUGACUUCUACUUGAUACAGAAUCUUACAAGAUUGAAAAUUCUUAAUCUCAGUCAUUCACAUGGCCUUAGGACAACAUCUGACUUGUCCGGACUCCCUAACCUUGAGAAACUAAUUCUCAAGGAUUGCAUUAAUUUGGUUGAUGUUGAUGAAUCCAUUGGAAACUUGGGGAAACUUGUUUUCUUGAAUCUAAAAGACUGCAAAAGUCUUAUGAAGCUUCCAAAAAGAAUGAAAAUGUUGAGGUCUCUUGAGGAACUUAUUCUUACUGGUUGCUCAAAGCUUGGUCCUCAUGACAGUGCCACGGUUAUUGAUUUACUCGCUACAUCUAGGGAUAUGAAUAAACUUAGACUGUUAUCAACUAUAUCAUGGACACCUAUCAGGUAUUGGUGGAUGUGGGCAUGGCCGAGAAAGACUCUUCAAUCAACCAGUUUCUCACUGGCAAGUUUGCCACGUUGUUUGGGAAGCUUAAGUCUGUCUUACUGCAACGUGUCAGAGGUUCCCAAUGAUCUGUGUACACUAUCUUUGUUGAAGCAUUUGAAUCUAACUGGUAACCCAAUUUUGCCUACCACAAAAAAUGAAGAGUCUUAUUAUGCUCGAGACUCUUUUGUUAGAUAAUUGCACAAACCUCGAAAUUCUUCCAGAGCUCCCACCAAGGUUGAAGAGGUUAGAAGCAAAGUAUUGUACUUCAUUGAAAAGAUUAACAAAUUUACCAAACUUGUUCAGAUCAUUGGAAUCACUUUUUUGGGGUUGUGAGCAUUUAGUUGAAGUUGAAAGCUUGUUGAAUAUAAAACCGGUGAGAAGCGCUGACAUAGAAAUGACAAGAUAUAUGGGCCUGUUCAAUUUGAAAUCCAUAGCAAGCACUGAUGUCGAAAUGAUGAACUACUUGACCGGUACAAGCAGGAAGGCUCCUGUCCAGGUCUUUCUCUGUCUCCUCUCUCAUGUAUAGUUGUUCUAAUUAUUAUAUCUAUGAACUAAUUUGGCCCAACUGUUUGAAUAGUUAAAUUUGAAUUGUAGAUUCUUGAUGAAACAGGUACUCUAUGAAUGUGGCAUAUAUAGCAUUUUCUUUCAUGGAAGCAAGAUUCCAGAUGGAUUUGGCUUCACAAUAAUAUAUAGAUCUGUGCUGUCAGUUAUUGUACCUUCACAUCCCUUUCUAAAAAUCCGAGGCUUGAAUUCAUGUGUGUUAUAUGCAAGAGAACCAGGCUUGGAAUAUCGUCUUACUGUUCAGCAUUUGAUUAAAGUCAGUAAUCAGACCAAGGGUCUUAUGUGGACCUAUUCCCCACUCACAGUAGGUUUGCCUACUGAGAAGGAAGAUAUGUUAUGGCUAAGCCAUUUUCGAUUUGCAAACAACGAAUUGGAGUAUGGGGACGAAUUACGUGUUUCGGUUGAGAUGCAUGAAUUUGUCCGUGUAAAGGAAUUCGGAAUUCAGCUUGUGUACGAGCCGGAAAGACCUCCUUCUAGCCAGAAUAAUGUUGUUGCUGGAGAUGUGUCACUGUCAGCAUCAGAGUACCAAAUGUGGACAGGAAAAUACUUUCUCAGUAAUCAUGGGCACUGUACUCAUCAAGCUCAAUUCCGAAGGAGACAGGAGAAUCCAGCACAUAUUGAGUUUUCAUUUGGGCCAGAGCUUCUAUUUCAUAAAUUAUUCAAGGCCCGAGGACCAUUCGAAACUGUUGUGAAACUUAGAGCAUAUCCAGCAGAUUCCCCAUCUGCUUCUCCUUACCCAUUUUGGCUAAAAUAAAGAGAAACCUCCUCAGUUCUUUAUCCAGCAUCAUUCAUUUAUGGUUGGAAAGAAACAUCAGCAUCAGUUUUCUUGGUGAGUAUCGUCCCUUUAUUCUUUCUUGUUAUCUCUUUCUGAAUAUAUACUCAUGGCUUUGUUGGAUUUGUUGCUCUUUGCUUAUUGUCUUUGAUUUGUUAAUUGAAUGAAUAUAUUAAACAAAAAGCGGGGAAAGCUCUAUGAACUCAGAACAACAAGGUCAUAAGACCAAUCAAGGAAACAAAACCGGAACAGUCCUCAUGAGUUAGCAGAUGAGGUUUGAAAACCCCUAUAGAGCAAAACCAACUUCAGCGUAACAGCAGUGGGACAACAUGUAUUUCUGAAAAUCCUGCAAUUAGUUUCCCUCCAAAGCCUACUCCUUACAAACGAAUCUUGAAUUCCUGCGACGUGGUAUUUGGGGUAACUUCUAUUUGGACACAUUUAUAUGAGCAAACUUUUCUUAUUCUAUUAUUAUGCAUUCGGAUUAGAAAGCGCGCGAUCAAUAAGAUAUUGAAAACAUGUAUUUCCUGAUACAUUAUAUAAAAUUAAUAAUUCGCUAAAUUCAUAAGAUAAUACAUUAUAUAAAAUUCAUAUAGAUUCCACAUAAUAUGUAAAUUAAUAAUUUCCUGAUACAUGUGCUUAUGAUUCGACAAUGAGGCCUUCCUAAAAUAUGACUCAAUCAUUGUUUGUUUUUUCUUUUCUUGAAAUUGAUACCUUGGAUCUUAUAUUUUUCUUAACAUGAUAAGAAGUUAUAAUGUGGUUUUUUCAUACUUCAACAAAAAAUUAUUCAAUGUCAUCGCCGCUUUGAGAACUUCUUUUCGGGAAACGGGCUCCAUAGUAGAACCAUGUACAAUCUAUUUUUAGAAAAUAAGUAGAUUCAAAAUUUUACUUGGUUAAACAAUAAAAUCGUUAGUUCGUAAAAUGAGAAACUAAAUUAAUAACAUAUUAAUUUAUCAAUUAUUUAAUAUUUUGCUAAAAAAUUUGGUCUCAAGGUUAUUAAUUUAUAGAGGUCUAAUGGAUUUAGAUAGAGGACACUAGGUAGGUUUCCCUUUAAAGAGUCUGAUAUGGUUGCCUUAAGUCUCACUUGCAUUUACUACGGUAUCCCCAAUCAAUCAUGCACUACCAUGCUUGGAUAAACUAUAGUAAUGUCCUUGCAUGGCAUGCAUGAUUGACUCGAGAUACCGUCAUAAUGUCAUCUUUGUUGUAGGUAAGUUUUUCUCCCCGAAAUAUAUGUUCACCAAGGAAUUUACAUGUGAAAUGAAACUCUAAGAAAAGAAAUUUAAAAAUGAGAAAGUGAUCCACCUAAUCAUGUGUGUCGGUAUGUAAUUGGGCCACGCAAGGAUCAAUGAACAAAAAAUUUAAAUGUCACAAUACAAGCUAUAGUAAUUUGUUAACUGCAUUUGAUUUCAUAUUGUUUUAAGUUACGAGCAGUGAAGACAGGGAAUAAAAAUGGAAUGAUAAUCUUUGUUAGAUCAUAUUCUAAAACAAAUUUCCAACACUCUGAAUCUUGCAGCUUUUGAGCUGCUCUGUGUUUGAGCAAUUAGUAGAGACAAAAUUGGAAGAGAUCAUCCUGUAAUAUCUAGUUAAACAAAUCAAGGGAAAACAAUUUUACGCCGCCCUUACCUAGUUUACAAAAUUUGUCAACCUCUUCUCUUACAAAAUUUGUAUAAGCCUAACCUGCGCGCGCUAUAAAGUCCUAAUUCUAAUCUUGGGACAAUGUAAAAGGAGUGCAGCGGGAAGAAAUAUCCAUGACAUCACAGACCACUCGGGCACAUGACUUUUUUGGAACUACAAGACAAUAAGAUGUAAAACAUUUCAGAGCUAUGUGGCAGGUAUUGCACAGAGGGGAAACAAAAGCACAAGGCUCUCUAAGCAAACAAUAACAGAGAAGAAUCGUCGUAUACACAAUUGUUUUCUACCAAUAGCGAAUGACAUAGCAGACAACUAGAAGAGAGUAAUGAUUCUCAAGAUAUAGCUUAUUUACUUAUCCCUUAAGAUUAUUCACAAGAGCAUUCGAUUUUUGUUAGAAACGCUAUAUGGAGAUUACAAUAAUCAUGACAUUAUUGUGCGCCAUUGUGCUGAUCGUUAUGUUCCUGACAGGAACUAAUUACCUCUCUUUGAAACGGUGUCUUCCAAGACAGAAAAUCCUUAAUCUCAGUCACUCACAUGGCGUGAUGACAACCCCUAACUUGUCACAAGUCCCUAACCUUGAACAAUUGAUUCUCAAAUAUUGCUUAAAUUAGGUCGAGGUGGAUGACUCCAUUGGAUACCUAGAGAAACUUGUUUUCCUGAAUCUAAGACUGCAAAAUGUGAGUGCUGGAGAUGUGUCAGCAUCAAAGUAUCAAAUAUGGAAAGGCAAAUGCUUUGUGUGUAAUCACAGUCUAGACCAUACUUAUCAUCCUCAGUUCAUAUUUCAGAAAGAACCAGAAGAACCUGGCUCAUCUUGAUUCUUCAUACGAUCCAGAGGGCUGUUAUUUUAAUAAUCAUUACUUACUUAAGCACAUAGAGUUUCCUCAGGAGGACGAUGAAUACUGUUGUGUUUUGCCACCCGAAAGGGUAAGAUUUUACAAGAGAAUAAAAGAUAAAGAAGGCGAUGAUUAUCGACUGCGUCUAUUCAAAAGAAGUGUAGAUUUGGGCACUAUCCAGUUGCGGUGCUAAUCAUCGGGCGUUGAAGAAAAGAUCAUGGUUUGUUUUCUUUUGUGAGUCUUAUUUUCUGUUUCUCUUUGUAUAGAAUAUACUAUAUAUGCAUUUUGUUUGAAUAAUUGAAUCUUCUUAACUCGAUCUUUUCAAUAUUUUGUACAAAGGAUGCAAGGGUUCAAAAACACUAGAUGUAGAUUUCAUAUCUGAGCUCCAUAUUGGUUCUUAUCUGAGCUCCUUCAGCGGAUUAACAAUGUGGUCAGCGAAUAAAGGAGUUUAAUCCAACUUAACAGUUAACAAUCAGACGGGCAGAUCUUCCCGUUGUUUAUUUUUCCGUUUCUUCUUAAUUUUUUGUUUUUGCUCCAAUCUUUCUUUAUUUUUUUCUUCUUAUGUUUUUGCUCUUUCUUUAUCACAUAACCGUAGCUACUUUCUGGUUAAAUUCUAUUUUUCUUAUUUCUUAAAAAUAAAUUAAAAGCUACUUAUUAUUAGGGUUUAGUAAUAUUCAUCUUUACUUAUGUUGAUGCACAAAACCGGAAGGUCUUGGAACAACGUAAAUCCGACCGUGAAUCAUGCAAACGCCCAAGAACACAAAGAUGUAUCGUGGUUCACCCCAAUGUUUGGGCUACGUCCACACUGAUGUUGAUUGUAUUCCUCUGUAAUUGUAUGUAUGGAUUACAAAGUGUUGUUGUGUUUGUGAGGGUAUUGCCCUCUGUUGGGUUCACAGAGGAAGAGAGUUGAGAGAGUUUCUAUGUAUGUAGGAGGGUUGCUCUGAAUAUGAGAGUCUCUGUUUGGGGAUGUGAGGCCUCAGGAUUGUGAGGGUGAGGAGGCCCUUUUAUAGACUAAGGGCUCCUCCCCUUUUACAUAAAUCAUAGGCUCAAUGUCUGGAAGCCCAAGUAACGAGGCCCAAUAUAAUAUGGUACCAACAGUAGUCCCCUAAGUCUUCAGUCAAGAGAGUCUUUUGGCUGGAGACUUCAAAUCCAAUUCAUGUACGGGCCGAAGUGGCUAGAUGUCUUGAACCAGUACUCAACCCAAGGCAAUGCUCAACAUAAAGCAAUACUCGGCUAGAGGUAUCACACGUUACGAGACUACUCGGUUGGAGGCGAUGCUCGUUGCGAGGCUGCUCGGCUAGAGGCUAUGCUCGCGGCAAGGCGUUUGCUCGGCUGGAGGCGAUGCUCGUUGCGAGGCGGCUCGGCUAAAGGCUAUGCUCGCUACGAAGUGGCUCGGCUCGUGGUAUUCCUCAUUGCAAGUAUCUACUUUAUGUCGACAUGCACUCAGUAUGAGUUGAUUCUCAACAUGACUCGAGUCCGCUUGUCGGGUUCGCAUAUUGGGUCUAUAUGUAGGAUCCGCAGAUCGGGUCCGCAAGUCGGGUCUUUGAGUUGGGGCCAUACGUAGGGUCAUCGAGUUGGGGCUAUCUGUAGGGUAAUCGAGUUAGGUCCAGGCACAUAGGUGUCCCAAUAAGCAAAUGUCAGAGCAAGUGGGUGUCCGGUCAGACAAGAGAUCACCAUGAGCACGUGGCUCAUCAAUCUAUAAGUUGGUAGACUUCUUUAAUCAGCAACAAUGUUGAUCAGUGGAUCUAGUUGCUUAAUAAUUUCUGACAAUAAAUGACAGUAUAAGUAUGACCGUAUAAUAAGUAAAUCAAAUUGACAAAGUUUGUCAAGGCAAAAUAUUGCAUUAUGUGCCUUCUGUGAAUAAAUGAUUUAUUCAGUUUGUGUGAUAAAUCAUAUGUUGUAUAAAUCAACAAUAUAUUAAGCAUAUAAUAUAUAUAUACCAACGGUAAUUUUUUAAAGUGGCAGGUAACAUAGGGAUAUUAAAGGAGAGCAUCUUAUCUUUUUAAGGGGUUGGUGGCUUUCUUUCAGGCAGAUGGCAGACAGUAAUUAUAGGAUUAAUAAUAGAAUGAUGGCAGAUGGCAGACGGAAUAAAAACUUAUCUUUAGACAAUGGAGUGGGCAUCUUCUUUGGUGGUCGACAAAAGUCAUCGGUCAUGAUAAAGUUCUUAUCUUCUCUGUUCGUCCAUCAUUGCUCUAGCAGUGGAACUGUGGCCAACAUCUUUGAAAUCAUUACUUGUGUCCUUUCCAAACCUCUCUCAUUCUCGUCGCUUCUUUUCGCCAGCGCUCUGUAAAGAAACAAGGCUCCCAGCACGGCGGUGAAGAUCCAUCCGAGCAAGUGCUGAUCCGCCAUUACAGGUGAAGGCUGCUUCCAUUUCAUGGAGGUUUGGUUUGCUUCCAUGGCCGCUUCAGACUCUUCUUUUUCUGCGGUGUUCUAUGGAUAACAUCAAAGUUGAAUGAAUGGAUACAUGUGGGCUUUUGAUUACUUGAUGAGUUUUUUUUUUUCUGAUAGAAUAAAAAAAAAACAAGCAGCCAACUUCCACCAAUCCCCUCGCUUAGCAACAGGUGCAUAUGUUAGUGGCAGAGUCGGAAAGAGUGACAAUUCUGGUGGCGGACUCGAAUCGGCGCUCCCGACGAAUAUCAUCCUCGAUUUCUUGCUGGGCCCUCCGACGCUGGUUGAAUUUCUCGGCGUUGGCGUUGUUCCACAACGCGAAUCGAACCUCCGUUGGCGGGUGGUUCUGAGCCGCGUUGUGGGUGGGGCUCAAGUUCAAUGGUGGCGUAAAAAUUAGACAAGAAAUGGGCAAAUUCAGCGCCAUUUCUUGCUGGGUUCCUCAAAUUGAAGCCGAAAGCUUCAAACUUUUAGCAGAUAUGAGUCCUUUUGCUGGGUUCUGAAUGCAUAUCAGUUAAACGACGUCGCAGCAGCUGACAGUAUAGGCCUUUCAAAGUGAGAGUUUUGCAGGGAAGAAUUGAGAGAGAGAAAGAGGUGGCUCCGUGGGUUUUCUGGGAAAGCUUUGGGUUCUUGGGUUUCUGCAGAUUCACGGUGGAGGUUGUCAAGUUUUCACAGUGGUGAGAUGGAAAAAUGAAAGAGAACUGACAUAGCUUUUCGUGUCGUUUCCCACAGACGGAGCCAAAUGUUGAUGCACAAAACCGGAAGGUCUUGGAACAACGUAAAUCCGAUCGUGAAUCAUGCAAACGCCCAAGAACACAAAGAUGUAUCAUGGUUCACCCUAAUGUUUGGGAUACGUUCACACUGAUCUUGAUUGUAUUCCUUUGUAACUGUAUGUAUGGAUUACAAAGUGUUGUUGUGUUUGUGAGGGUAUUGCCCUCUGUUGGGUUCACAGAGGAAGAAAGUUGAGAGAGUUUAUGUGUUUGUAGAAGGGUUGCUCUGAAUAUGAGACUCUCUGUUUGGGGACGUGAGGCCUCAAGAUUGUGAGGGUGAGGAUACCCUUUUAUAGACUAAGGGCUCAUCCCCUUUUACAUAAAUCACGGGCUCAAUGUCUGGAAGCCCAAGUAACGAGGCUCAUAUAAUAUGGUACCAACAACUUAUAAGUGAAAGAUGUCUUAUAUUCGAUUCUCAUCACUUAGCCCUCUCGCUUCUUAAUGUAGAUAAUAUCGUAUAUUCAAAACAAACAAAAAAGUAAAUUAAAACACUAAAAUUAAAUAAUAAAAAAAUAAAUAGAAACCCAACCCUCGUCAACUUCCUCACCCCGGUGUGAGAUUUGUCCAAAUGUUAGAUAAUUUGGGUUGGGUGAGUUGGGUUGGGGUCGCUUCUCAUCUAUUCAUUCACCCUUCACAUCUAUGCAUCCACCCCAAUUUAGAUGAUUUGGGAUCUUGGAUUAGCAAUAUUUUUCAAAUAACAGAGAGAGAGAGAGAGAGAGAGAGAGAGAGAGAGAGAGAGAGAGAGAGAGAGAGAGAGAGAGAGAGAGAGAGAGAGAGCGAGAGAGAAUGGGAUGGUUAGAUUUUAGAAUUGCUAUGACAUAAACAUUAAUAAUGAUAAAAAUUAAUUAGAGUUAUGUGAGAGGACAUAUGUCAAGCUGAAUUUAUGUUGGUAGAAUACACUAGGGGUUAAGUUUGGGCAAUUUUGCUCACCACCAUUUUAUUUAUCAUUGUUAAAUAAGUUUAAAUUUUGAAAUUUGUAUCUAUCCAUAAUAGAAUAUCAGGUACACAUAACAAACAUACGAACAAACAUAUUAUAAAUUACGAAUAUUAUUUGAUUAACGAAAAAACAAAGAAAUAGGAUUGCCAAGAUGGCUACACUUAAAGACUACAUUUUAAUCAACUUAUUAUCAUACUAAAUUAUAAGUUAUAUGUAUAGAGAACAAAACCUAAGAAACCCUAAUUUGAAUGAGCUAAGCCCAAAUCUUAAAUUAACAAGCAAACCCAAAUAAUUAAGUAACUAAUUUUCCAACACCCCCGUCAAACUCAUGGUGGUACACGACAUGAGUUUACCAACAAGAAAAUGUCAAUGUAGGCUUCACUAGGUGGACAAGCAGGCAAACAAGCUUUGCUAGGCUGGACUUGACUUGACUUGUGAAUGGGCAAACUGAUUAUGUUUCAGAAAUGCAUGAGGGUAUGGAAAGAAAGCAUAUGAGUGCUCCUCAUCACUAAACAAACGAGAUUUUCAUAUCCCAAUUGCAGCAAUGGACGGACAAAAAGAAUACUAUCACUCAAGUGAUCACAAGUCCAAACAGUCGCAAAAUUCCCAUACAGGCCAACAACUCGUGUGGGCCUCAAAGACUUCAAACAAAAUCAAACAGCCCAUCUCUUUUUGCCCUUUCCCCGUGUGGGCCGAAAUCUCAACUAAAUUCGUGGGCCUCAAACAUACCGCCACUUUUUCUCCUUUUUCUUUUCCUUUUUCCCUCUUUUUCUUUUUCUUUUUUACAGAUCUCUAUAAUUGUUGCCCCAACACGACAAUUUUGUUAAUUCUUAUUAAUGAAGAGGAUUUUUCAAUCUUUCUUUGUUUCGUGCAGAUUGAAUUUGCCUGUGUCUGAACCGAAUCAUUUCUUUUUUAAACAACUGGUGUCGGGGGAGGGGGCCUCUGCAGGCUUUUAUCAACUUUGAGUUACAAGUCCAUUGAAAAUUAAUAAUUGAUUUGUCUCUUUAAGGAAGAACGGCCAUAGAAAAUUAAUAACUGAAUUAUCUUUUAAUUUAAUUAUUAUAAUAACUGAUUUGUCUUUUUUUAUUUUUUUUAAAUGAUAUUGCAAGAGUAGAAUUUGAGCUAAGUCACACGUCAUAAUUUCACACCGAACGAAAAUCGAAUCUAAAACCUUCUUUUUUUAUAAGUGGAGAAAUUUAUGAUUGAAUCUUUAGAUUUUGCAUUAUAGUCGCUCUAUAGUGACUCUUUUGUGACUAUAAAAAAUGAUUACUCAAUUUUCGUGGAAAACGCGAAUUAUACACGUACGUACCUUGAGUACUUUUUGGCAAAGCCAUAUAUAAUUGUCACCCUCAUUUACCCAAAAAAUAAAGAAAAACAAAAGAAAAGAGAAAACAAAAGACUAGCCCUUCUUCUUGAGCUUCUCUGGUAGCAUGAUCAUCUCCCACAUCCUCUUCUUCAUCAACUCUUAAGACCGACGCCCAUUCAGAUCCUUGGAAGUUUGAGCAUGGUGGAGAGGAACUAUAGUUAUCAACUUGAGUUUGCGAGUUAGCGAAAUUCGAUUUGUGAAAUCGUCCAUUUCAAAGUGUCUUUUUGAAGAAACUAGUUGGGACUUUCAUCCAACAGCUUAUCGGCUGAAAGAAAACUCGCAGCUUUCGGCAUCUUACAAUACACAACUCUGGUGUGUGCGAGGUACCUUCAAGCUCCCCUCUUGUGAAAACAUACAUCUGCUUGUAUUAUUAGCUUUCAAUUGAAAUCUUCAUGGCCGAUGAAUCAAUGCAUUGGCUUUGGCUCCUCUUGCUUUCUUAUCUUUAUUUUUCUUUUUAAUAUUGUCCUAUGAAAUUUGUUUUGAGUCCCUAACUCACACUUAAAGCACCGCCGUUACACUGAAAAUUUUCUCUAAGCUAGUGGGUCAUUCUAUUUUUUUUAUGAAAAAAAAUCAUAAACUUAUCCAAUAAACUCCACAUAUCAUCCCUUAUUGACAUAGUUAGAUUCAAGUGCUACAUUUUAUAAUUACACAUUAGUUGGUUUUUAGUUUUUUAUUCAAGUUCUUUGAAUUUUGAUUAAACGCUUUAACUUUACAUGUGUUUUUUUCUUAAUUUUAACUCAAUAUGUUAUAUAAAUUUAAAGAAUAUAAAUAUGAGUCUCUAAAUUCAUGGAAAUUGUUUUGCAAGACUUUAAUUAUUUUUUUUUCAGAAACGUGAACUAAAUCCAUUCAUGAAAAAAGAUCCAGUCCUUUUCUUUUUUUUCUUCUCAAAAUAAAUAUGAGUCAUUAUUUUAAUAGUUAAUUUAUUAAAAAUUGAUAAAAUAUAUUUUUGUAUAAAGUUUUAAUAUGAAUUUCUUUUAGGGUUGUCAUUAGCUUUUUACGUACCAACGCCUUCAAACUUAAAGCCACAGCCCACUCCCAGUCCAAAUCCAUAAACCCAGCCACUUUAAUUGUUUUCAGAAGAGUGGCAGUUUCGUAAAUAAAGUGAAAUGCAGCAAAAGUCACUGUAGCUUAUGAAUAAUGCUAAGGAAAUUUUAUUUGAACACAUCUAACCUCUUUCUAUACCAAACUUACUCUCUUCACCCAUAUUGUUUUUUAUUAAAGAAUUAAUAUCUCUUUAAACCCAAAUUUAUUACCUAAACUACCCUUUCAAACCCAAUUCAAAAUGUAAAUUAUCUUUUCACCAAUUUUCUUUAUAAAAUAACAUCUCUAAUUGAAUGUUGUUUUUUCUUCAAAGAGGCAUCCUUUGCCCCUAUAAUUGCAUUUGCCGUAUAGGACUAGCAUUUCCAUGGCUGUUUUUUUUUUCCUUCUGCUACCACAACACAUUCAUGGACUUGGGAUCCAAGAGAUCAUUCCAUAGACUUGAAUUUGCCAAGAGAAUGCUAUGCAACCUUCAGUUCAGUCAUUUUUAAAUCGAGCAUUUUCAUGUACUUUUUAAGAAACUUUGAAGUGACAUAGGGAUGGGUGUUUUGCUGCUAUGUUAAUAAACAAAUAAACAAAUUGGAGCUAUUUUGAAUAAAAAAAUGUGCAAGACAUGCCACCGGCUAGUUCGUGGUUAAGGUUGAGCAAUCUUUAUUUGUACCAAGAACCAAGUUUUAUGUUUUUGCAGUACUAAUAAAAAAUCCUUGCACUGGUGUUUUGGGGCGCAUAUAGACGACAUAGAGAAACAAAUACAAUAUAAUAUAAAAGGUAUGAAAUUUAAUCCAAGGAAGAAGCAAACAAACAAAAUAUCCAUAAAUCGAGUCAUACCUUAGUUGAAGGAUUAAAAACUUCAAAAUCACCAUCCAUCAAUAGAAAAGCUUGUUUUUCUCUAUCAGAACUAUUAGGGUUUUAGUUGGAAUGAACAUAGGAUAAACUAAGAGUGAUGCUAGAGUUUAGUUAUAGUAUGUGGGUCUAUUGAUAAAUUUGAUUUUUAUUAUUAAUUUCAUUUUGUACUUAAUAGUAAUUAUGCAAUAGGGUAAAAUAGACAAUUAAUAUUUAAAAUUUAAGUUGGAUGUAGAAAGAUGUUAGAUGGGUUUAAAUAAAAUUUCCCUAGAGCCAAUUCUUCCCCAAUUUAGACUAUACUAAUAUGAAAAAUUCCAUCUCCAAUCAGACUUCAUUCUUAAUACAAGUUAGCAUACUUACUAGAAACACCAAUUUUUUAUUUAGUAUUAUUAUUUUUUUCUGGGUAAUACUAGAGACAUCAACUUAUUAGUUUUUGCAUCAAUUUUUUUAAAUCCCAAAUUUCGUGGCAAUGUUUCAACGCAUUUUCUGUUCACAUUUUACAACAAAUAAGAAUUUGCAUUGUGACUUGUUAACAAUUAACUGGUGUCUCUUGCACUAUUAUUAUGUUUAUCAUUUCUUACAUACUUCCAAAAUUAGACAUGUAAUAUGAUUUGCAUCUCAGUGUUAAAUCAGAUGUGUUUGGCAGCUGGAGAAUAUAUUCUCAAUUUGCAUUCCAAUUUGUAUAUAAUUACUUUUGUUCAUGCAUGCACUGCAACAGAUGGACACUAUUCAAUAGCUACGAUGAGCACCGAGCAGCAGAAUGCUUCUUCGUCCUCUUACCGGUGCACAUAUGAUGCAUUCUUAAGUUUCAGAGGUGCAGAUACACGCAAGGGUUUUGCAGAUCACCUCUACAGUGCUUUGGAGUUGGCAGGAAUCCACACUUUUAGAGAUGAUGAUGAAAUUGAGGGAGGAGCAAACAUCGAACAGGAGCUACAGACAGCAAUACAAGAGUCACGAGUAUCAGUCAUUGUUUUUUCCACGGACUACGCCUCUUCCACGUGGUGCCUGAAUGAACUUGCUAUCAUCAUGGAACGUACAAAAACAGAUGGACACAAGGUUGUGCCAGUUUUCUAUGAUGUGGAACCAUCAGAUGUUAGGAAACAGACGGGCAGUUUUGCAGACUCAUUUACUAUACAUGAACAGCGCUUCAAGGACAAGAUAGACAAGGUGGAGGAGUGGAGACGAGCUCUUAGAGAAGUAACAGACCUGGGAGGGAUGGUUUUAGGAGAACGGUAAUUUGUCAUUCCCUCCCUAUAUUCAGUCAAGUAGAUCAGAUGCUAGUCUCAAGCUUGUGAAAGUUUUAGCUUUUCUUUUUUAAAUAAAAAAAUUAAAUAAAUAACUUGCUCGUGUUUUUUGUUUUCCUCUGAUAUAUUUUUAUAUCAAUAACAUAUAGGUACGAGUCGCACUUUAUCCAAGAUAUUGUUGAAGCUUUUGGAAAUAAACUGGACUACAUGAACAUGUGGAAUAGGAGAUUAAGAGUUGAUCCCUAUGUAAUUGGAAGAGAUUAUUAUGUGGAAAGCCUGAACACCUGGCUAGAAGAUGGAUCAAAUGAUGUUGGAGUAGCUGUCAUCCAUGGAAUGGGUGGAAUAGGCAAGACCACCAUUGCUAAAAUUGCUUAUAACCAGAACUUCUCUAAAUUUCAAGCUAGCAGCUUUCUAUCAGAUAUUAGGGAAACUUCCAAACAAGCCAAUGGUUUUGUUCACUUGCAGAGGAACCUUCUUUCCGAUAUCCAAAAGAGGAAAGUGAACAAUAUAUACAGCCAUGAUGAAGGUAUAGUAAAGAUCAAACGGGCUGUACGUUGCAAAAGAGUUCUUAUUGUUCUCGAUGAUGUUGAGAACUUGGAACAGUUCAAUGUGAUUCUUGGAAUGCGAGACUGGCUCCAUCCUGGAAGUAAAAUUAUCAUAACAACUAGACAUGAACAUUUGUUAAGGGCUGAAGUUUGUGUAAGGUUUAAGGUUGAAGGAUUACCUGAGCAUCAAUCACUUAAGCUUUUCAGUUGGCAUGCCUUUGGACAAACCCAUCCUCAAGAAGGUUACAUGGAGCUUUCAAGACCUGUAGUAGAACAUUGUGGAGGGGUUCCAUUAGCUCUUCAAGUUCUGGGAUCUUCUCUAUUUGGAAAAACAGUAGAUGUAUGGAAAAAUGCAUUUCACAACCUAGACGUGAUUACUGAGGGAAAAAUUCAAAAGAUUCUUGGCAUAAGUUUUCAUUCUUUACAAGAUCAUGAUAAACGUUUAUUCCUCCACAUAGCCUGUUUCUUCGUAGGGAAGGACAAGGAUUUUACAACUACAAUCCUU
This 49292-nucleotide long non-coding RNA is filed under the name Malus domestica (apple). RNAcentral's name for it is "long non-coding RNA (MDOM_LNC015752)". The record is from RNAcentral. Lineage: Eukaryota; Viridiplantae; Streptophyta; Magnoliopsida; Rosales; Rosaceae.